Molecule: long non-coding RNA, 62481 nt
Filed under: Xyrichtys novacula (pearly razorfish)
Lineage: Eukaryota; Metazoa; Chordata; Actinopteri; Labriformes; Labridae
Source: RNAcentral
CGAAUGGUGCUGUGACAGUGAAAAUACAUAUGGUAUGUUGUAUCUGAACAGGUUAGCUUACGAGCUAAAGUUACUUAGCACAGAUGAAAGUUAAAACAAAGACGUUUAUCAAACUGUUAAAGCACACAAACCAUCGUCAUAUGAGAAAUCCGACGCUAUGACUCUCCACAAGUUGUCCUUCAGGUCGUUAUCUUUGUAAUAUUUGUGUUUUUUAUCAAAAAUCACUCUGUUCUCCGACACGUAAACAAUCAGCCGGUCGGCCAUGUUGGAUAUACCAACACGAAAUCUGAUUGGUCAGAAGUGGACACACAGUAUGCAAAAAUUAAGAAAAUUCAACCCUGAUAAGAAAAAAUAAAUGCCGCAAUAUCACGGGAUGGGAAAACGUUGCUGAUGUGAACGCUUGAAUUGACAGGAUACGAGUUCGGAAAAAAUAUUGACGUCUGAAAUAAUCGCACAAAAAAACGCUCCCGGUGUGAAAGGACCUUAAGUCAGUGCCUGAGCUGGGCCCCCUCAGUCAAAAAUAUCUGGACACACCCCUGUCCGGAUCACAAAUUUGACUCUCCUUUUUUUUUCCCAUUUUUGAACUUUUAUGUUAAGCUAAGCUAGACGUUAUCUGAUGUUAGCUUCACAUUCUGACAGGAGAUUGUUAAAACGGGCUAAAGUCCUUCAGGUUUGAUGACUGCAAAGGAAGCCAAGCUAAAAAUGAACCAUGUAAAGGACAUAUUUUUACUCAAUUUAGAGGGUGAAUUGCUCCGUCAUUGUUGAAGGAAAUUGGAUUCAAUUUACCCCUUCUUUUACUAUGAAAUUGAAAAAUCAGUCCACAUCUUUUUUUUUCCAUCAGCGAGAAUGUGAUUAUUUCCUGUACUUGUGUUUCACGAGUGUAUCCCCAUGCCUCGUGUGUGUGUGUGUGUGAUGUGCAGAGAGGAUAGAUAAAUCUCCUCACUUUCUUUUAAAAAUCACCAGCCUGACCAGCGAGUACUUGAAACUCCCUGAACUUUAAAGGCUUCCAAGUAUUUCCUCACAGGCUUUGUUCUGUUGAUGGACGACUUUAAUACCCUUCUGUUGAUGAUUAUUUAGACCUUUUUUUCUCAGAACCAGAGCAGGUCUCUCUUGAGUUUGGGGAGAGAAGCCUCCCUGAGUUUUCCUGUGGCACCUGGCCUACUUCUUACCAUGCAAAACAGCAACGAGAACUUGUACAGCACAUUCAGAGGGUGUAUUUGCAGUUGUAGUAUUCCAUUAUAAACACUGAAAAAAACAACAACUUCCUAAUAGGCAAAUUGAUCCGCUUGUGUUUGUUUGAUCAGAAAAUAUUGAUAAAAAACUCUUUACAUGUACAGAAAAAAAGGGAAGUAAGGCUAGCUUGGCUGACUGGGUAUCCCUUUCCCAAGAAUCAGGUUCAAUCAGAACUGCUAAAGAUAGAUUUUGGGGUUCCCCAGGGUGCCGUGUUGGGACCACUGUUGUUUAUUUUGUACAUUAGCAAUAGUUGUAUAUUUGUAGUCGUAUAUUAAUGCUCUUGUGAUCUUCUGAUCCCGUCUUUUACUGUUUAUUAAAUUACUGUUUUUAUUAAAAUACGUCUUUUUUUUCCUUUAAAUGUUUCUUUCUCAUCAUUGCCUCUUUUUACUGUUCUUUAAUGCUUUUAUUUUUUUAAUUUUUCCCUUUUUAUUUACUAUAAAUCAAGAUUAUUUCUCCUCUGCUUUUAUUCUGCUUCAGACGUUUAUUCUGCUUUAUGUGUCAAAGACGUUAGUUAAAUUUUGGCGUCAAAGGUGGUUGUUAAAGCUCCUGUGAGGAAUUUUUGAUGUUUAUAAAACGGACUAAAAUUCAAAUCAGUGUUUAUUUAUGAUGUACAAAAGUAAACAAAAUCAUUAGCGGCUGGACUGAUUAUUUUUGUAUUAUAUAUUUUAAUACCUAGAACAACCACAAGGGGUAGUCAUUAGCCGAUCAGUUGAAGACACUGCCUUGUUUUUAUAAUUUCUGCAAAAUUUAUAUUUGAUCAACAAAAUACAGCAGUAAGAGGUAUUUUGUGAAAGGACAAGAUAAACAAAGACAGGGGGCACCAUAGUUUACACAGAAUCAAAGUUCCUCACAGGAGCUUUAAGUAGAAAUAUUUUUUUUAUUAGAAAUAAGUUUUUCCUUCACAUUUUCGAUUUCCUGCAAAAACCAAAAGUAAGGUGUAAAAUAAAUGAAAAAAAAUCUCAGCUGUGCUCUGUCUCCGUGACCUUUAAGACAUGCAGUGCACUCAAUAACUUCAGUUUGUCUUAGUAGGGUGGUAAUAAGCAGCCUCCUGAGCGUUGUGCUUGUGUUUACGCUGAUGGAUGAGACAGGUCGCUUCUUUAUGUAGAGCAGUUCAACAUUUCUCCCCCUCACAACUCUAUUAUUUUGGAUCGACAGGGCUUAGCAAACCUGGAGAGGUGUAUUUUAAAAAGCAGGAAAAUGAAAUCGCAUGUAUAAUAAAGCCUUUCCUGCCCUGCGGUCUAAUAAAGAUCUAUGUGUUACUCUGGUGUGUGCUGCAGCAAGAGUACAAUGGAUUUGUUUGCGGUGCAGGUUCAGAGCGAAUGCAUCAGCUCCUCGUGACUUUCCCAACUUCCUUCCUCCCUCUUUGUGAUAUUUACACUCCAGACACACACUGAAAAUUAAUGAGAAAACAUCUUAAUGGAGCUGCUGAGGGCUUCAUAAGCAGCUCUGACGAUGUUCGCCUACACAGGGCUAUUUGGAGAUUGAAAUCUAAUUCACACACUACCUUAAUCUAAUUCAAACACCACUACAAAGAUUCCUAUAAUUAUGACUGGCACUUAAUUAUAGAUGCUGCACGCAGUGAGAAAUUCUCAGGGAAAUAAAAAGUUGUCUGGCAUGUAAAUCAGGCCCCAUCUGAGCUGAGAAAAGGAUUGUAUAAAUAAUUUCCUCUUAACAGCGAUAAAAGGUCUUAUGUCUGAUUUGAAAGGAAAAUAGAUCCGGGCUGAUUGUAGAGGCUGUCACAUUAGCAUCAUGCCUCAGUAGAUGUGCUGUUCCUGAGACAGAGGGAGCGGGAUAAAAGGUGAGAUGCCUGUACGAGCUCUCCAGCUGGUUGUCAGUCGUGAACGCUGUCGACUUUUUUCCGCCGACAGUAUCAUCCACUUCACACCACUGCUGCCGUGUUUUCUUAUCUGCUUAAAAUUCUGUAUCAUCUGAAGCCUUCCCCACUCUCGGUGAUACUGCUGCACUUCAAGAAAAAUGUACUGGGGGAACAGCACAGGUGAUGAAUUGCAAUUUCUGUAGUGUUACUCCUCUUUUACAUACAUUUUCAAUCCCGUUCAGUGCUGUAUAACGUUGGUUUCUGUUCAUUUUUUGUGAGUACAAGGCCUAAUUUAACACUUUCGGACACUUGCGCCUUUUUUCCCCCCGGAAGGUCGCAAAAUCGCAUAGCGCUUGAUGUGUAUAGUCAGUCGUGUCAAAACUCUCCUCGGAAUAUUUCAUAAUUUCGCGUUGUAUAUUUGCAUCGUUCCCGUACUGUAAGGACCUUUAGACUGAGGAAGUGUCUGAAGUUUCUGACAACAAACGUGGACACUAUUGUUAAAAAAGAUAAAAAGGCUUAAAAGGCUAAAUUUUGUUCGACGAAUCGCUUUGCUAGUUGACUCCUCACAUUUGGUACUACCUCGAAGCUAAAUUCGGGUGACACAGUUUUAACCUGAGUAAUAUUUCUUUAUAGGCUCAUAGGCUGUAUCAAGUGUCAAUCAUAGAAAACAUGAACCCCCUAAUAACUUUUAAAAAUGGAGCUGUACAGAAAAAAGAGCACUUGAGCACAAACCAGUCUGACAGUAACUACAUGUCAACAUCACAAGCAGGGGGGAGAAAAAUUUAUGUUCCACAGCUCCAUAAGCUUUGCUGGUGGAGGCGGGAUUUAUGACCUAUACUGCAGCCUGUCACCAGAGGGGGCUGUUCUCCGAUUGGCCUCACCCAGCAAGGAGGCAGAUGGCGUCCAUUCUCUACACAGUCUAUGGUCCUGAAUAUCCUUCCUUAUUAUGUUUUGCUGAUCUGGCUAAUUCUGUUGGCUACACUGCUCAAUACUCCCCCUGUGGUUACCAGCGGUACUGCAGGCUUCAAGAGAAUAGAAAAUGAACAAAGAGUCCAAUCCAUAUUUGCCUUCACCUAGUUAGGUGCUUUCUUGCUAGCCAAUAGUGAACAUUUUGCGUUAUCGCCUACAACUUUCACAUAAUUCAGUUCAGUCCUCACGUUUUGAAUCAAAAUUAGUCACAUUUUUUUCUUUAAACUUUCACCACUUUAACUUUCCCGCCAACUGUUCUGACCUUUCGUUUAAUGCCUCUAUUCAUUCAUUAGCCUUGUCAUGACUCCAGUUAGACAGUUCGUGAAAAUGCACCAACCCACGUUUUCAUGUUAGUGAUAACACCCACACUUUUCCUACAACAUGUCAAAACAUCUGUAUUAAAAGGUCUUCAGAGGGCAACUCCACACUGAAGUGAUAAAGACCACUUACUAACCUGACAAGUCGUCAAAACAUGGAAAUCAAGGGCAGUAAUCACAAACCCAUACUGAAAAACAUGCUUUAAAUAUCUGGAAACGUACCCAUAGGGACGUAUUUCAGCUGUGAGCCAUCAUGUGAGUAAAAACCAUUACAGCACCUGUCAUGGUGGGAUUUUAUAGAUGCCCUUGCAGACAUGGAUUUUUUCUUUCUCUCCCUCUGUUCGCCAGAUGCACUAAAAUUGUGACAACAAAUGAAACUCUGCAGGACACACCGGCGUUUAUAGACCGCUGAAGCCCCGGUAGAGACGAAUUCAGAGCAACUGGGGUGACGUAGGAGACUUUUUGUUCUGAACAAAUCACUUUCAUGUGUCAAAGCCCUUUUUUUUUUAAUGGCAAACCCAUUAAAACACCAUAGCGGCUCAGCCACCGCGGAUACCUUGUGGGGUAAUUGCAUGCAAACAUUUUUAAACUGCAGACAAGGCACGGCCUAGACCUGCGUGAUUCUUUGCGUGUCGACUGUGUCUACAGUGAAGAGAGAUGAAUGGAGAGACCUUCGUUUAAAACAGUCUGUGGCCUUCUCCUCUGAAUGUGUUGUCGUACAUGAUUUCUCUCACCGCUCUCUGUCUCUCUUAUAAAAGCCAUCUCACUUUUAUAUUCCCUCUUCUCCCCACGCCUUUACUCAAUUUUCACAUCCCGUUUGGUAUUUUUGUCUGACCUUGCGGCAUUACGGCGGCCGUUGCGUUAAAAAAAAAAUGGAGUAAUUGAUGAGAACAUCCCCCUGACUCCAGUCCUUUCAACAGGUUCAGAUCAAAGUAUUUCACUUUAUCAUUAAAAAGAGGAAUAUUUGGACACUUUUUAUUAGGCGUGAAAGAUAAAUGGGCGAAAAUGAUCCGGGUAUGACUCAUCAGAGUUCCUGUUUAAACCCCGUUUAAAGGACAGGAAUAGGAUGAUCGUACUUUGGCUCAUUACCAGCUGCACAGAGCGUCCUCUUUUUUGUCUCCUCACUGUAAAACAGAUUCCAGUCCUUGCUCGAAAGGCGUAAUCCACGACUAAUGAUGACACUCUGAGGGAGUGGGAGAGGGUAAGCAAUGGAAAGCAGUGUCAUCCUUUGAUAUAGCUCAUCUGUAAAAACUGUAAAUAAUUUAGACUGUUAUAAUACCUUUUAUUUUUAAUGAAUUGGGCUAAAGUUGUGAAUUUGAGGUUUCAAAUAGCUGUAAAGCAAAAAGCCGCCUCGCAACUAAAACCAUGUCCAUGUGUCUAAACUAGGGGUUUAGCAAAGAGUGUAAUAAAUUAUUUCAAAUCUAUAAUACUGUCAAGAUAAUCUCAGGACAAAACUGUUUAAUGUUUCAUUAAAUGUCGCAAAUCAAAUAAUAGCAAACAUUCCCUCUGUCUACAUUACUAUCUCUGAGCUUUAAGGGCCUGUGUCCACUGACCGUGUUUUUGCAGCAUCAAAACCCAAAUGAAGAACUCUUACAAAAUUGUGAAUAAAGUCAACACCACUGAUCUUGCUCUUUACUGAUUUUUGUAACACUGUUAGUUAAAAUAAUCCAACAACAAAAGUAAUUGCUUUCUUAGCCCACAGUACUAUCUUUGAGCCUUAAGGGCCUGUGUCCACUUGCAUUUCUGCUGCAUCAAAACCCGCUGGGCUCCUGUUAAGAGUACUCGCUGGUCUAAGUUUGUGAUUUGGUUGCUGUGAGAAAAAUGACAUUGAUGAGGAUUAAUUUGAUCAAAAAGUUGAUAUAUUUUUAUGUGUGAGGACAGUAACAGAAAACAGCAAAUGAUUCUGACAUUUAUGAAGUAUAGCGUAGAAAACCGAUGUCACUAGCACAUCAACGCAGUUAGUGAACACAGGCCCUAAUUCUUGAGAACUCAGUUUGCUUUAAUAUGCUUAUCACUUUUAUUGCUUAACUUCAUUAGUAUGGAGUAGAAUAUCUGUCUUGGAGGCACAGAAGAAGAGUAAGUGGACACAGGCCCUUACUUUGGUGAACUGAGAAAAAGAUCAAUUUUGAGGACAGUUUUGCUUAUAUAUCUUUCGCCGUGACUGAUUAACUCAACUUGCUUUCUUAGCCCACAGUACUAUCUUUGAGCCCUCUUUAAUAGAAAUGUUUCUUUAGUUUCCUAGCAACUGUGCAUUGUUCCUAUAAAUGUGGGGGGUUAUUCACUCAUUUAUUUCUUAAUUUAUUCCUUUCCUACCCUGGCAGGAGCGUCUGGAACACCUUGUUCUACAUAAACACCCUUUUUUGUAACCGACUCAAGGUGUGAUGCAUUUUAUCCAGUGAAGACUCUGUGGAUUACAGUUUGAGCGACUUUCUGUUUGAACUUUUGGCACCGGAGGAAACUAAUUACAGAGUUAUUGGCGAUUUGGCUGAAAGCUGCAGUGGAUCCAAGCCCUAUUUACUGUUAGAUGUAGUAUUUCCAGUAAGGUAUACGCUGUGUGAUGUGUGGUCGGGAAACCAAGCCUGUGUAAUAAAUCAAAAUUCAUUAAAACAUCACAGCGUUGUUUGGGGUUUUUUUUUUCUGGGUAAAGCUCAAAUCCAGCAGGUCAGAUCUCAAACCUCCAAACGAGUGAUUAAACCCGGCAGUAAACAGGAAACUCUUUGUAUGCAGAGUUGGCAACAGACCCAUACAAAUACAACGUUUAAAGAUAACUGCAGUGAUAAGGAGUGAUGUCCUAUGAUGUGCUGGGAUAAACACGGUGUUUAAAUUGAUUGAAGCUGUUACAAAGACUGAGUUAUAAUGAGCAAUUAAUAUUCAAUGAGUAAAUGAGGCAUGCAAGGGAAAUUAUAAAGAAGAAAGAGGAAGAGAGAUGCACUCGAAUCACACCCAGGUCUUCAGAUUUACCUUUGUACUUCAUAAAAUUGAAAAUUACACUGUAAAAACACACAACUGAGCGCAAUUAUGUGGCAAGUCUAGAAAAACAUUGUACGUCAGGGCGUGUAUCACAUAGCUGUGACUUAUAUUAAAUCUGGUAAUCACUCGCUAAGAUGUAACUUUUUACAGUGUACUCCAAGUAGAUGUGGAAAACAGGUAAAAGUUAUCAACCUCGCCUGCUCUUUGGUCAUUUUUCUGACAGAUUUCAAAGACUGACACUUUAAAUUUUGCAUCAAAUCCCCAAAAUAUGUCAAAGCAAAACUGUUUUUGUCACCCUUUGUUUUGUAGACUCCUGAUUUGUCGAGUCAAUCAGCUCUGAAAGCAGCACAACUUCACAGCCGUAGCAAAGUACAAGCUGAUUUUGAAUGACAUAGCCCGAGGGAUGGCGUAGUCAGUCUGUCAUCGGUAUGUCAAUUCUUUUCAGAAUAAACCCUCAUCUGUUUUUAUGUUAGAUCCUCUGAAUUUGACUUUUGUUUUGUAAGUCACUGCUGUCAGGCUGAAACCUUGUAUUUUUACAAAACCGCUACUCUACAGGAAGUAAAAAAAACAGAACAGAAUAGAACAAUACAUGCGAUUUAACCACUUUAGAGAGCCGACUAUGUCAAAACAUUCAGGGCACCCCACUGGUGAUCAUAGGUCUCGAUCAUAGACCGUAUGGACAACUUGGUUCCGCCUUCCGCCAGUUUAUGGAUUUGAAGCCGAAAAGCUCUUGGUAAUUCCACGAUUUUUCUCCAUUUCCUAAAACCAACAUUGCACAUUAGUAUUGUACGAAUUCGUCAGGAGAGUCGCUGUGAUGACGCUCGGCUCAAACAGCGUAUCCCCCGGGUGAGCCACGCAAUCUUCGUUCGCCUAUCUGCUAUAUCAGGUGUCAAUCAUAGAAAAAAUUAACCCUCUAAUAACUUUUAAAAACGGAAAAAUUUCUAAUGUUUGUCCACAGCUCCAUAAGCUUUACUGGAGGAGGCGGGAUUUAUGACCUAUACUGCAGCCUGUCAACAGAGGGUGCUGUUCUCGGAGUGACUUCACCCAGCGAGGAGGCAGACACUGUCCAUUCUUUAUACAGUCUAUGGUCUCGAUUCCUGCUUCUCCAUGUAAACAGAUGGGACAUGGGUCAAACUUUAAAAUUAGAAUACAAAGAAAAUAUUUUUUCUUCAAACAUGCUUUUUGUCAUUAUAGUAACUUAUCAUGCAGAUUUGUUUCCAGGUGCUCAUUUCUGUGUAGAGUUGGCUGCUUUAUACGUCAUAUGGCCUUCUCCAUGUAAACAGAUGGGACCUAGCUUAAACUUUAAAGCUCCUGUGUCGAGUUUUUGACAUGAAAUCGACUCAAAUUUAAAUUAAAACAUGCAGAACAGGAACCAACAGGAUUGACAGUGUUUAUUGCCAUUUUUAAUGUCAGAGGAAGCACCAAAUUGAUGCAAACCUAAAAUUCCUUACAUGACCUUUAAAAUUUGAAUAUACAGAUUUUUUUUCCUUUACUAAAAUAAGUUCUUUACUUGUGUUUGGAAGAGCUAAUUUUUACUAUCUUCCUCAUUCUUUUUAGGGCCCAUAUCUACCUGCAUCAACUUGUGUGUCUUUCCUACUAUCACGGUGCAACAUGGCUGCUAAUGAGCCUGAAAAAAGGAGCCCAUUCAUAAAAACAGGAAAAUAAAUGUGGAUUCAUGUCUGAUUAGGCCCCGACGCCUGCGUUUUGUAUUUUACAUGGCACUAUCUUUGUUCAGCUCGCGCUGUAUUUGUUAAUUGCGCCGCGUAGUUUGGUCUGUGAAAGAGCUGCAGAGGAAAACGGAGGGAAAAAAGAGUGGAAGUAUAAUCACCAUCUGUUGUCAAGGUCAUUUGCCACACUAUAAACACAUCCAUCACCAGCAGAAAACACUCACAGUUAACUGGAAAUGGAGUCGUUAGUCUUGGUGACAUUUCACAUUCAAUAUUUGGGAUGUUUGUGCGGUAGAACAGAGCAGUAAAGAGCAGAUAUAAUCAUCAGAGCAGAUAUAAUCACCUAUGUGAUCUUUUAUUCAUUAUAGGAUCGCUGCAGAAGUUUCCUUUCAGAUUGCAAAAAUAGAGUUUUGAACACAAGUCAGUCUUUGUUCUCAGGUAAAGUCAGGGUCUACUCCGGCUGCCUUGCUUGACAUUCUCGCUAUAACCUCUUUCAGAAUCAUCUCGCCAGUCAGGAAAGCUCCCACAAAGGGCAAACCCUCCACAUCCUGUCAGCCGUGCAUCCACUAUUUCAGCUUUGUUUCAUCUCAAAUGCCAAAGCAGCACUGCAUCUCCGUCUUGGCAGGGAAUCGCAGGUUAUUUAGCGGUGAAAUGUACCGCAAGACUUUGAACCCAUCGCCUGUGAUCAAACUUUUAUUUCCUGCAUUUGAUUCAUAAAGCUUCACACCACAUUUUAUUGAACGUAAACCGAGAGGCGCACCACCUCCUGCUUGUUUCAUUAAGCAGACUGUGGUAACCUGCCAUCCGGCCUGAAUUAGAGGCUUUCUUGGCAGAGGGAGUCAAAACAAAUUCAAUUCCAGCCUGUGUAACGUUAAUUAAGCAUGAUGGACCUGCCCGCGCUCUUUAUCAUAAUUGUCCUUCUUUGGUCUUCGUGUCAUGUUCAUCCCUCUGCCCACACACCGGAGAAGCUUUUCACCUCACCGAUGCUUUCCUCCUGUUUUUGUGCUCGGGUGUUUUGUCGUUAAGAGGCGUCAAGUAGAAACUCUAAGCUAUUAAUGUUAGAAUCAGCCGCCAUCUACCUGCAAAAGUGCACUUCAGAUUGACUCUUCUUUCACUUUUAUAUCCAAGUGCUUCUUAAGUUGUAUUCACACCAGAGAUGUUUGAUCCAUUUAAAACAAAGCGGGGUGCAUUUCCUCGGAUAGUUUGAUAUAUUUGGUAAAAAGCUCUUUUAAACUCUGGUCCAUAGGAGACUGACCCACUACACAUCAUGAGGGCUGGCCUUUAAUAAAGCCCACGCAGGGAUUCAGACUGCUACACAGCAAACCAGUAACUUGGUCUGGUCCACAGGAUGGUCCAGGUCUCUUUAAAGUGGCUGUUGGCUAUUCAUGGAUGGGGCCUUAUUUUAAUUGCUGACUAGCGGGAGGAUUUAUUAUUGAUUGGUGUCAAAUUCAUGUUCAUGAGUCCAGCGUUGGUUUUUAUGUGCAAAUGUGAAGUUUCAUGAAUAAGACCAAAAACUUUUAAAGCUCCUACAGGGCUUGACACUCACUUUUUUCACAAGGAAGUUGAAAAAGUAAGAAGCACACAAAUAACUUUAGGGGCACAAUAAAAAUUGAUCAAAUAAUGUGUGUCCUAUUGGUCGAUAUAAGUACUAUUACUUAUUACUACUAUUUGAAAUCAAUUUUAGGUUAAUUGGUCUCAUGACAUGGAAGCUAUUGAAGGAAAACAGCUUUUUUCUGAGAACAUCAACUGAUAACUUAUUGACGGUCCCUUAUUCAAUACCUGACUUUGACAGCGAGGAUGCUGAGUAGAUUUAACCCGCGUUAUGGAGAGUGAGAAGUCACCGGUAGAUUGGCGGAGCAUGUCCGUCGAAUAUCCAACCUAAAACCAACUUCGUCGUGGUUCGCACACAUCUAUUUUGAGUCGCAAAUUCGAGUGAAACGGUCGCACUGUCGAGCACCUUCUUAUGUGAAUCAUUUGACUUUAGAUUCUGGCGUUUACACGGCAGUCUUGUGUCUUUGAUUCAUUCAUUCAGGAUCUUUGUUUUGUGAGUAAAAGCUGUGUCAGAAGCAGGGGGUUUAUCACUUAGUGCGCCACCUACCCCCCACUGAAGGUUCCAGGCAUUAAACAUUUCAAAAUAAGAGUCUUCAAAUGUCAUGUGGUGGUCUUUUUUUGCCUUUUUAGGUCAUUAAAAGACAUCACUAAUAGUCUAUCUAGAUUUAUGACCAGCUAAAAACUCCUCACAAAACUAUUAGAUGUUGCUUCUUAUUUCUUUGUCGUGUUAGCAUAUAACAGCAGCUCGGUUUGACAGUUACAGCAUAUAGAGGAUAGUUUGACCUGCGUUCUGGUGCAUAUGGAGCUCAGCGCCGUGAUACCGCUGUGAAAGCGGCCGAGCGGAGCGUCCUUUAAUGUGCCCGCAUCAACUGAACAUUAACAAUGCAGACACACAGGGUGAGUGAGAGGACAGUGCUGGAUGGCAGAUCCAUUUCCUGACUGACCAGCGUCUCACAUCCAGGGGCAGCCGGGGUUCAUCAUUGUGGGAUUUAAGCCCGAGUGUGCGGUGACAGCUUGAUAAUGCCGGCCUGAUUCUAACACCAAGCUGUGCUCCUCUGGAUUUAGUAAAGAGCGCUAAGGGCGGACAGUCUUAAUGACACGCACAUACUCAAUGACUUUCUCUUCCUAACUGUGAAAGCCGCUUAUUUUAUUUGAUCAUCGCCUCCGAAGAUCCAAACCGAACAAGUCGAAUGUGGCAUGAGAGAGGGAGUUAGACAGAAGGUUUUUGUGCGAAACAACUGUUUUCUUUCAAACUCGGUGUCAUGGAAGUUUACAGCGGGAUGAAAGUCGGCUACAUGGAGUGCACCAUCUGCUGCACAUCCAUCAAGGGGUUUCAAACUUAUCCACUUAUGAUACAGUAUACAGUUUUUUCCUUUAAUCUAAAACAGGCAAUGCAAAUGUAUUAGCACAAGCAUUCAGGUUUGCAGUAUAAGUGUUAAUUAAACUAAACAGGCUUGUUUCGAUCGACAGCCUCUGGGAAAUUAAUGUUAUUGUGAGCUUUGUAUGUAUUCCUCUGCUGCUCAUAUGUGAGAAGCAACAAUGUUCUAUAUGUGUUUUUUUAUGCAGAGAUAAAUUUAAAGAACGAUGUUUUUUUAGAGUGAAUUUGAGCCGAUGUGUUGACUUCAACUACAGAGUCACAUGAAAUUUUUAAAGUAGGUCCAACACAUCAUUCCUAUACAGAUGCUGGUUAUGAGGUUGCAGCAAUAAACUAAGUUCACAGUCGGCUCUCAAGGUCCUUACACACCGGGAAUGACGCAAAUAUACGACACGAAAUAUUCAGAGGCGAAUUUUGAAAGGCCUGACUAUACACAUCAAGCGCGAUGCGAUUUUGCGACUUUCCAGGGGGAAAAAGACACGUCCCGGGAGGAAGUGAGAAGACUGACACAACAGCAGACUGAGUGUUUUUCAGUUCUGAUUAGACUCUAGUGUUGAGAUGUCUGUCUGUCAAAAAAUAAAGGUAGAAUUUUUUCUUUUUUUUAUGCUUAGGGCCCCGCGGCCAAUAAGCAGGCACUGAGUUUGCUUAUGCCUUGGGCUGGCUCUGAUUCAGGACCACGGUGAAUGGCUUUUGAGGAAAUAUUUCUCAGGUUGAAACUAUGCUCCCUGAAUUUAGCGUCGGGAUAGUACCAAAUGUGAGGAGUCAACUAGCGAGUCAACUUUUUACCUUUUUUUGUUUUUAAACAAUAGUGUCCACGUUUAUUGUCAGAAACUUCAGAUGCUUCUUCAGUCUAUAGGUCCUUACACAUCAGGAACGAUGCAAAUAUAUAAUGCAAGUUUAUGUGGCAGCUUCCAUUACAGAGGUUUUCAAUGUAGUGCCGUCUGAGGGCCUCUCUUGUUUUGUUACCUCCGCCAAGGAGGUUAUGUUUUCGGUAGCGUUGGUUUGUUUGUUUGUUUGUCUGUUAUCAACUUUACGGAGAAAGUUACGGACGGAUUGACCUGAAAUUCUCACCAGAGGUGCGUCUCAGCCCCAGGAGGAUCCCAUUACAUUUUGGUGGUGAUCCGGAUCGCCUUCUGGAUCCAGGAAUUUUUUGAAGGAUUCUUUAUCAUUGUGAGAAUUUUUGCAUUUAACUCUAUAAAAAUGUCCAGAGUCUUUAGUAAAAAAUGACACAAAAGGAUCUCAAUGAGUUUUAUGAGGUGUCAAAGGUUGAUCCUGAUCCAGACAAAAUUCUGGAUACUGUGAUCCAGAACACACAAAAAUAAGGGUGUCGUUGGAGUUUUCAAUGCUGAAAGAUAACCAAUGGGCGGCACAGUGGUGUAGUGGUUAGCACUGUCGCCUCACAGUAAGAAGGUCCUGGGUUCGAAUCCGGGUCAGGGCAUUUCUUGUUUUAGGAACAUUAUGAACAGUGAACAUACCAGUUUAAACACAAAUAAACGUUAAUAAAAGACAUGUAACAGUCAAAGUUUUGGUGUGAAUCUCAAUAUAAGGGGGACAUGAGCUGCUUGGCAGGAGGUCUGCGCUCUCAGAGUGCUUUUCUAGUUUUCUCUCGAUUCACUCCAUCUUUCAAGGACUUUAUGUACCUCAGUUGGUAAAUCCUCUAAAUUCUCUGUAAUUUUUACUAAGAAGGAAGGACAGAAAACAAAAACACUCACUAGUUCUCCUGGUACCAUAAAAGCUAACAUGGCAGCUAGUGCUAAUGGCUGAAAAUGUUUUAUUGUGAGUACCUUUUUAGUUUUACUGUACCUGACCUUUUGAACAUCAUGGGCAAAAUUCACAAAAAAGCCACCUUUAUAGUUUCCUCUCCCCAAAGAGCCUCUCCUCUUAGUCACUUUGUAUCCCCGAGCAGCAUUUCCUGCGCCUUUUUAUCAUAAAUCCAUUUCUGUUGUUAUUGGGUCGGACUUACUCUCCGAUGGGACUUCAUGUUGCUUUAAAAACCAAUAACCGAGAGCCUCUGGCAAGUUUCCGGACAAUUUAUCAUUGUUGCUAAAUGUAAGCAGGGUGCUGUGGUGAUGUUUACAGAUUUAAAGGCAGGUUUUAGGAAACACUCUGAGUAUAUGUGUGUGCGUGAGCCGGUGCCUGUUUGGUGGCGUUGCAUCGUUGUAAUCUGCAACACAAAUCACCACAGAUUAUCUGUCUUGAAGCCAGAGCUUUAAUGAGAAACAAAUAGAGUCAAAUGAAGAUAAUAAAUGCCAAGAGGUGAGCCGUCGGGGCUUUUAUUUUGUAAAUUUAAGGAUGUUGACGUGUUCUGAGCAGACAGCAUUAAUUUAAACCGUUAAAUCUGCAGGGCCGCUCUGCUGUGUCGAGCCUGCAGCCACUAAAGACAAACAUAUUCAGUUCUUUCAAAAAUGGCAGAAUGCCCGAGUGUUAAAAGUGUUUAUGGAUGUGUUAAUGUCCCCACGGUCCAUUGUCAACAUUACAAACCCCACAGUGGUGCUUUAAUUUAAAUAAUAUUAAAAUUAAGCCAAAGACUAUAAAUAUUCCACUAAGUGUGAGUCUUCCUGCCCAGGUUGUGCGGCACUUCUCUGUACUUAAAUGAAUGAAUAUUAAAGGGGACAUCCUGAUGUGUUUUAUUACUCUCACAAAAAGUUAAAGGACUCAGAGGGACUUUUUUAAACGGACAAAAUUCGGUUUCAGCGGAUAAGAAUAAGAAUCUGCUGUAGCUCUUUUUACAGAUCAUGUUGAUCCUGAUUGAAAGGGUUAAAAACUGUGGUGGCACGGCUCCAAACUGUGAAAAAGUUGUCCUUUAGAGGUACUUAAAGGUUUGACGGUGAUUGGUGUUGUGGCGAGCUUUAAUAAACUGGACUGGUGGAUGUGAUAGACUGAGAAAUUGUGACUCUGCUGCAGCCCUUGAACAUUUAAAACGCUCACUUAGAGAUGCCCAUACAGAUGCUCGCGCAGCCUCUUUAACUCUGAGUCAUGCCGUUUUUCAACAUACAGUCAUGCUUCAUCCCCUACUGUGGAUGAGUGUGUUGGCAUGAAAGUUUGAUUUAUCCUCGUAAUAUCCAUCAGGUCAGUGGGACCUUGGGAAGGCUGGGCCAUAAAAUGCAGGGCUCUGGCUGGGCCUUUUUAAUACAGUCUCAGUAAAAUGGCUGAAGGUCAACGGCACUCUCACUCAAUCAGAUAGAAACGGCUCCAGCAGCUGGAGCAACUGUUGUUGCUUUAAAGUUUGGCUGAUACACUGCAGUCGCUGGGCUCUGAAUAAAAGAUGUUUGUUCUGCUGGUGGAAACAAUGACUGUAAGAUGUUCCACAGGAGAGGGAUGUGUCUCUCACGGUGGAGUUAUUACUCUGCGGUAGCAGGUAUCACUUCUAUAGCUGGUACACAGUAAAAGACGCCGGCUCCCCCCGGUAAAAACACUGAGUAAGAUCUUUGUUUCCCUGCAGAAACACAAGCGCAUCCCCGGGGAAAUUAGCCUCGCUAGUUAGUUUGUGCCUCUCUUAUUUGAUCUCUUUUGAAAUGCAUGUGUCAGAAUGCCGAGAAUAUGCUCACUGUAAGGAAAGAGAUCCUUCUGCAUCAUUGGAGACACACAGAGCAAAUAAGCGUACAGGCGUUUGUGUUGGCUGAGGCUUUUAAAACAUCGCAACCGAAUAGCCGAAGCUUGUUCGUCUAAUGAGAAGCUCUCUCUCCCGUCAAAACAGGAUUUUACAGGAUCACAUGUUCCAGAGGGUUUAAUGAAUUUGACACAGUCUGGUGUGCACGACUUCCCCGCUAAACAUGCAUGUUAUGUGGGGAAAAUAGAGACAUUUUGAAGGAAUCAGAUUAACAUAUGAUUAACGUACAGCGCACACGAUGACGGCAGGCUGAAAGAGGCUUUAAUUAAAGUGUGUGUCUGAUCCUAGAAGUGGGAAUUUUAUCUCUAUAGGUAAGCCGCACUUUCAUUAAAGUUAUCUUUCAUUAUUUCUUAUAUAUCUUUACUUAUAAAUUUACUGUAAACAUUAUAGAUUUUGAAAGGUUGGCAGCACAUUCACACAUUUAUCUAUCACUGCCUUGAAUCGCAGCAUGUGGUCGCUCAGUACUCUACCUUUUUCUUUUUUUCUAAAAGUUGGAUUUGCACUAUUAAAAAGUUACUUGAUUAUUGAGUAAGUUAAUAAUGUAGCUUUGACAUACUUUGAUUCUGUCGGCCUCUCUAAUACCAGUUAUUACGUAUUCAUUUAUUCCCAUUAUCGCUCCGAACACUUUGAAUUCCCAUUUUCAGUCGAGUGGUUGAGGUAACAUGCUGUUAGCCCAGCCUUCACGAGGUCGUCGAGUUUGACUGAAAUGACGCUUUUUCCUUUGGAUUAAAAGACUUGCACGAAUUAUCACACCCUCAUCGCGUUGUCUUUUUUAUUUCCCAAAGUCUUGCUCAGCUCCAGAGUUCGUGGACUGUAUGUCUCGGCUCACUGGAUCGGUUUCCCAACAAAGAGCCGAGUCAUUUCCACCAAACUGGAAACCUAAAUGGGUCAAACUCAAAUUCUUCUCCCCUCGUUUCAAUCCGAGUUGAGAAACUAUGUCACCCAAACUGAGCUGAAGCAAAAUAUCAGCAGGCACAAACUAUCACAAUGUGAUAACAUAAUGAAGCGCAGUGAUGUAGACAAUUGGAAAUGGUCCUUUCCAGAUAACAAGAAUCCAAACGCAAAGCUUGGCGGGGCCCGGGAAAUAAAUCCAAAAACACUGAGUUAAAUUGGAGAAAUGAGUGAGGAAAAGGGAUUGUUAUACUCUAGAAAUUGCACAUUACAAAUACAUUGAGAUGAUUUGUUGUCAGGAUGAGCAUUGUAUCUCUUCUUGAUGGAAAUUAGGUCUUUAAUAAGAGGAAUACUGAGCGAAAUGGCUCUGCCUCUGCACAUAAGAGGAAAUCUGCCCAUUUAGCCGAGCGUAAAGUGAGACACACUCCAUCCAAAGUGAGAAAAGGUUUGUUUUCCCAAAAGAGAGAAUAAAAGAAGUGAAAACAUGUUUGUCUCCCAAUCGUGGGGUGAAUUCAGCUGAUUAAAACUUGUCGUUUCUACUUGAUUUCACCAUAUUUUAAUUACUGUGAUCAUGUGUUUCUCAAGGAUUGUGUUGACGAAAAUAUCUUAAAUGUGUCCGGGUGUGUAAAGGCCCCACAGCUGCACUGUCUUUGUGAUCACGCUCAAUCAAAAUCUGAUGACUGACUGAAUAUCGGCCUUUGACGGCCUUGUGUUUUAUUUUGGCGAAGGAAUUAAAACUUAAUUCAGGCAGCGGAGAAUUCAUCUGAAAGCACACUCUGAAAGCGCGGGGCGAAAAAACGAACCCAAAAAGCGCUGCAGAGAGAAAGGCGAUAGUUGGGAUUAAUUGUGCGUAAAUUUGCUUCCGCCAAAUUUGUGAGCGCCUCCGACGGAUGAAUAAUGUGUGAUGUUCACAGCUUAAUUAUAUAUAGAGAGCAUUACGAUCUGGCUGCCAGCAUGAUCCAGCGGGAGAGGAGUAUGUUCUUUACCACAGCUGCCAUGCUUUCAUUCAAUCUGACAGCUGUCAUAGAAAAUCCAAUAUAAUAAAAUGUUUAAUCAGUCUGCAAAAUAUGAACACGUCGUCUGGAUAUGUCUCUGUGCGGUAUCCCUUAAAUUUAUUCACAUUUUUAUGUCUGUAUUUUUGAGAGGAGGUCUCCGAAGGCAUACUAACACUCGAGUGAAACUGUUUUUCAGAAGAAGCAGACACAAACUGGGAAAUUUACCACCAAUAAUACAAACUGAAUUCUAAAUAAAUGAGAAACUGUGCAAAACGGUAUUACAAACUGAAUUCUAAUGGUGUGAGAAUCAAUUUGCAUCAACAUAUCAUCAAGAGUGUUGGUGUUUAAAGGGAUAUUCCAGCGUAAAAUUAAUUUAGGGUCAAAUACGCCGUAACACUGAGUUAGACACCCCCUCGAGAGAUGAAUGUUGCAGACCGCUUGCUUCUCUAGUUAUACCAACUUUAGUAACGACGACACGAUAGCAAUACACAGUGAUCUGAGGAGUCAUAAACAAACAUCAACCAAAACGCCACUCUGUAGACACAAAUAAUGCUCAGAACAGCACCUAACUUCAUCAACAGGACAGAUAGGGUCCCAGACAUAGCACUAGACACCAAACAUCUUUUUAACUUUGACUAAUUUCUUUAGCAAAGAGACUAAACACAACUCACCUACUCUCUUCCAGCAGCCACUUGUUUGUAGUGAGACCUCAUGGGGUGACGCAGCUCAAGGAAGAACAUUUGUGAUCAUUUCUUUAUCAUUUCCUUGAAGUAAUAAUCAUCAUAUUAAUCAUUUUACACUGCAGACACAGUCGUUCUUCUGCCUUAGCGUCUCGGUCUGAUUGUAUUUCCAUGAGGAAAUGAUCAUAAAUGUUCUUCCUUGAGCUGCGGCACCCCGCUGCAGUAGAUGGACUUGCCCUGGAGGUCCCUGUACAAACAAGCGGCUGCUGGAAGAGAGUAGGUGAGUUGUGUUUAGUCUCUUUGCUAAAGAAAUAAGGCAAAGUUUAAAAGAUGUUUGGUGUCUAGUACUAUGGCUGGGACCCUAUAUGUCCUGUUGAUGAAGUUAGGUGCUGUUCUGAACAUUAUUUGUGGCUAUAGAGUGGCGUUUUGGUUGAUGUUUGUUUAUGGCUCCUCAGAUCGCUGUGUAUUGCUAUCCUGCGGUCGUUACUAAAGUUGGUAUAACUAGAGAAGCAAGCGGUCGGCAACAUUUAUCUCUCGAGGGGGUGUCUAACUUGGUGUCACGGUGUGUUUAACCCUAAAUUAAUUUUACGCCUGAAUAUCCCUUUAACUUUGACACUGUGGUCCCUCUCCUCUUUGGAGUGGGAGGAUGCAGCGUCUAUGAAUUUGUACCAACAUAGGAUAGAUUUUUCGCUUUGGUUCAGUCCAUGAAUUCCUGGAUCUAAAUCUGGAUGCUUUCUACAUAAGGAGAGAUUUUCAUCUGACCUCAGAUCAUAAUUUCCAAAAAGAAAUACCAAUUUUUAAAUGAUGAAACUACAUUUCCUCUCUGGCCCUGAGAAGUCUCUGGCAUACCUUGUAGUUUCCUCUGUGCGGUUGUAACCAACGUUUGUGGAUGCAAAGACAAACAGUCGCUUUUAGAAGUGAUUUGCACCAAUGCAGGGAUUUCUACUACAGAGUCAUGUCUGUUUUUUAAUACAGUUCCUCCGUCAGAAUGUUUCUUCAGCUUCUGUUAUGAAAAGAUGAUAAAAUUCCCCAAAUUCUUUGCAACUCCAUGUCAGUUUUGUUGAAAUAUUUGCUCAUGUCGUCUCUCGUUCCUCUGAAUGUUUAUUAAACAUUACACAGCUCUUCGUUUUCUUGUCCCUAUCCUGACAUGAAACUAGAUCAACAUUUUAGACUUCAUAUAGACCAAGCUCACGCACUCCAAAGUCCCCAAAGCACCCCUCUAGCACCCCAGGAAGGCUCUGACAUGAGGUUAAAAUGAGGACAGGCUGUUUUGGACGUGUGUGAGAAUGUACACCCACAAGAGCUCCAGGUGUAACCCACACCAAGUUCAGCCACUCCAUGGCAACACUCCUUUAUUGCAAUCCUCCGAGUACUUUGGUGUCUGUAAAAACGCCAUUAUCCCAAACAGACAUAAGAGGGUAAUUUACCAACAAAAGUAAGGCUGCGAGUGUUGUAUAAAGAUAGUUUUUAUAGUCCUGCAACACUGACACUGCGUUUACAAAAACAGGGGACAUAGAGACAAACAACGCAAACCAUUUAAAGCCCAUAAAACUGACAAUAAAAUAAAAUGAGUCUUAUAACUAGGAGUCGACGAAUGCUGACCGUUAAUAAACUUUUAUGUCUGCUUAUGCAAUCAAAAUGUUAAUUCACAGUGAACAAAAGAGGCGAAUGCUUUUCUUCUGUUCUUUAAAGAAAGACGGAGAUAAAAAAAAUUAUUGCCCUGCAGGGUGGAAUAAAGGCAGAAAAAGUUGUUUUAAGGUUGAAUUCCAGUUUUAGAAGCAGCAGCAGUGUCCCUCAUCAGCAAUGCUUCCUUCUGAAAUUGAACACCUGCUGCUAAAAAGAGAGGCAGCGGAAACCCUCAAAUCACAAGUUCUGAUCAAACGCAGGGUGGAGCCGACGCACUCAGAUGAAACUAUUUCUCCUGCCUAAUAAAGGAAACAAAGUCUCACUCCUUGUUCUACUUUAAGUGAUUUAGAAAGAAACGUGCCCAUUUUUCCAGAGAGGGAGUGUCAGGCCUGCUUACUGUCAUUUGGAAUGACCUUGUCACUCGCACUUGGCAGAUCUUUGAAUUACAUCCCACUGCUCCCCCCCUAAUGCUAUCAUUACCAUUAUUAAUGGGACAUGACACAAGUCAUUGCCACACAUAACACUCUCCCACAGCCGAGGAGUAAUGGCUUCCCUCUGAUGUAAUGCCGCCGCUUUCUUAGUUAGUGUGACAGGGAGUCAAAUAUUGAGAGUGCAAUACUUGUGCUGCAGACUUAAUGCAAGAGUCGUACAGAGGACUUCUCACACAGGCAAUAAAAUCCAAUUUCAUCUGUGGGUGUGUGGUUGUGAAUUAAAUGCCCCCAUCUGUAAUUUGUUCCAAACACUCCAGCUUUACCAAUAUUAGCCGGACACUGAUUGAAAAGGUGCCGCUGUCCGUGGUGCUGAAAUUCAUCUGUGGCUUUGCAGGCUGCGGCACUGCGGUCAAUAUCUCUGCAGGGCAUGUUUUGUCCCACUGUAAAUCAUUCCUGAUUACAUGUAAAUUAUGCAGCAGGUCCAAUAUUAAAUGGCUCUUUAUACAUGAAGUGGAAUCAAUCAUAAAAACAAUACCUAAUAGCUCUAUUUAAAUCACCCGCUGUGACUGCUGUGCAACUUUGUUUUAGGUCUGCUUCAGCGACUGUCCAUUAAAGGCUGCAAUUUCCUCAUUUUCAUUUAUAGACACGUAAAUAGGUUGAAAUGGAAAAAAAAGAAAAAAGCUCUAUUAACAUUCAAUAAGGUUUCCAUUAUUUGUAUUCAAGAAGCAAUUUAAAAGUGUUUUAUUGUUUGUUACAAAUGCCAGAAAAAAUUUAAAUUCUACUGAAUAAUUUUGAUUAUUAAUUCAACUUCACCGAGAACAACAGAGUGAAAAAUAGCCCGCAUUAACCUAUGAAGUAAAAAGUUGAACAAUGUUUGCAAGAUUUUUGCAUAAAUCAGACUUUACAGUGUCAUGUGGUGUUGUGUCAUUCGCGAACGAUUCGUUCAAAAGAACCGAAUCCUUUAAGUGAAAGUACUGAACCGAAUCACUUCCUCGAGUUAUUAGUUUGUUUCUCACUUCAGUUGAGCUGAAGUGAGAAACAGCAUCGCCAGGCCAACGAGGGACCACAUGUACCGACGCCUGAAUCACUUGUUGAACGAAUCACGCAUUGAACUACACUCUCUGGAAUCAUUUUUGUCUGACAAAACUACCUAUUUUUCACUCCUAAAUUGCAACCACAACAACUUGCAUACAAUAGGACACAGCAUGUAACAAGUAGUGCAUAAAACCCGCAGCAUCCUAUCAUUGCAGCGGUUUGCGAGGGAACGGUCCAUGUUCAGUGUGAAUUCUUCUAAACUUUCAGUGAACGAAUCACUCACUGAGCCCAAUUUACCGAGCAGACCUGAUAAAUAGCAUACCAUAGGACAGUACACUUAAAACGAAUCUUUUUAGUGAACUGAUUCUGGUGAUUCAGUACAUUGAAAAGAACUGCAGGGCCCAACACUAGUGUUGUAUCCUGGCUCACAACAUAGAACAAAAAUAAAGCAAACACAACAAAAUGGUGCAAAUUUAAAUCACAGAAGAGUGCUGCUGGAUGAGUGUGAGAUAUGUGGGCGUUUUAUGUGGUGUAAAUGAACUAUAAAGAUGGUCAAAGCCAACUAAACAAAAACCGUGUUGUGUUGGAUGUCCCGGCAAAGAUGAGAGAGAGACAGAAGGAGUGGGUCAACUACCUGAUCUUAUAAAAACCCGGGGGACUGGAAAGAUAUUCCCGACUGCUGCAAACCCAGCCCAACAGCGACCAUCUGGAGGACAAACACAAAGCCGUAAUAAAAGGACCAAAACAAAACAAAACAAAACAGAGCAGAUCCCAGGAGGGAGGCUCCACAAGGCCAGACUGACUGCCAGGUUCAAUACAUCCAUGCAACCAUCCAUCGAACAAUAUAACAAUGCAACCGAACCUCCAUUCAUGGAUCCAUCAACCAUUUAUGCAACCAUACAUGCAAUCACUCAUGCAUACAUUUGUCCAUUCAUGCAGCCAUUAAAGGGAUAUUCCAACGUAUAAUGAAGCUAGGGUCAAACACACCGCAACUUUAGUAAUGACCACACGACAGCAAUACAGAGAGCCACGCGCUCAACCAAAACGUCACUCUAUAACCACAAAUAAUGCUCAGAACAGCACCUAACUUCAUCAACAGUACAUAUAGGGUCCCAGCCAUAGUACUAGACACCAAACAUCUUUUUAACUUUGACUCAUUUCUUUAGCAAAGUGACUAAACACAACUCACCCUCUCUCUUCCAGCAGCCGCUUGUUUGUAUGGAGAUCUCUGGGCGAGUCCAUCGACUGCAGCAGGGUGACGCAGCUCAAGGAAGAACAUUUAUGAUCAUUUCCUCGUGGAAAUGCAAUCAGACCGAGACGCUAAGGCAGAAGAACUACUGUGUCUACAGUGCAAAUUAAAUAAUAUGGUCUCCGUACAAACAAGUGGCUGCUGGAACAGAGUAGGUGAGUUGUGUUUAGUCUCUUUGCUAAAGAAAUGAGUCAAAGUUAAAAAGAUGUUUGGUGGCUAGUGCUAUGUCUGUGACCCUAUAUGUCCUGUUGAUGAAGUUAGGUGCUGUUCUGAGCAUUAUUUGUGACUAUAGAGUGGCGUUUUGGUUGAGCACGUGCCUCUCUGUAUUGCUAUCCUGCGGUCGUUAAUAAAGUUGGAAUAACUAGAGAAGCAAGAGGUCGGCAACAUUCAUCUCUCGACGGGGUGUCUAACUCGGUGUUACAGUGUGUUUGACCCUGACUUCAUUUCACGCCUGAAUAUCCCUUUAAUGUAACUCUGUAUGCAUCCAUUCAUUCCCUUCCACUUAUUUGAUAUUGGGUUGAGGCUGCAGUAUGUUACGCAAGGGGACCCUGACAUCCCCUUCCUAUCUACAUUUUCCAGCUUCUCUUUGGUUAUUCCACGGUCUUACCGCCCCAGAUGGACUGUCUUACCUCUCAGCAAGUUUUGGGUCUACCUUCAGGUCUCCUUCCAGUCCCAUGUCUCUGAAAAACCUCUCUGAGGAAGCAUUUGCGUAUUACUGGGCUCCAGGAUAUAUUCAAAAUAGCUGUUUUCGUACCCUUGAAUGACCAUAUCAGAACAGUGAGUCUGGUUGCAUAUGGUUCAGUUAGCUUUUUUAGCAGUAUCUAUUACAUAACUAGAUAAGAGCCUCUCACAGUAGCUUUAACAACAGGACUCUUCAACCUACUUCUGUGGCCAUUGUCUUUUUUUUUUUUAGCAACUUUUGAAGAGUGUUACUUUAAUGAGCUUUGUUUGUGUUUGUUUCUAAUAUUUCUGCUCGUUAAACAGCACCAACAAAGUGGAGAUCCAGCUUUCAAACUGGGACGAGGGUUUGCUCUACUUCUUGUUUCCAAUUAUAAAUAAUGUUGGGUUUUGAGCAAACAUGUUUCCACAUGCAUUGAGGUUUCUUUUGUCAGUUUUUGCUCUUCUCUAUCAUCCUGUCACAGUUAAAGGAUGACUCAGCUAACUGCCAGAUGUGAGGACGGCACUGUCCCUCUUUUGUUCCUCCCGAAGAAGACCUCUGCAUUCGUAGCCUCAUUAUACGUCUUAAUGACUCCACUGCAGCUAUCUCUGCGAAGGCGUGCUAAAGGUCAGAUCAGCAUCUUAAUGCGCCGUCCUCCUGCCUUCUGACCCACGUGCAAACCUCGGUCACUCAGAUCAGACAUGUUCGGUAGCCUGUAGAACAUAUCAGUCGAUCCUAAUGAAAUCACAGAUCCUUUGAUUCAACUUUGACAUUUAGUUUGAGCACCCGUUGCAAAGAUCACUACUGGCAAAUGAGCUUCUCAUCUUCAAGCUUUGUCAUGUUCCUGGUGUGAAUGCUGCAGUCGUCAUGCAGAUUUAAAGAAGUCUAGAUGGAGAGACAGAGUUUGACAGAAUUCGUAGGUCUUCUUGGACUGAAAGGGUCUCAGACUGAAAUCUUCCGGUGUUUCUUGCCUUUAAAAGUUCCCCACAGUAUCGAUAAAUUCUUAGACGCUAUAUGAAAUGAAAAUGGAAAUGAAAUGCAAAGCCACUCAAGGUUUCAGCAGGUUUUCAUCAGCUGGCAUCAGGUCAGAUGGCUGUAUUAGAUCUGCGCUCUACCAAAUGGGGUUCUGACUGGAUCAUUGCUCGCUCCCUUUGGUCUCUAAUGGAUGAAUUACAUUGCUUUCAUGACUUCCAGAUCUAUUUCUCUGAGUCUCUCUGAGAAUAAUUGGUGGAGUUCUGAACUUUCCGGGUGUUUACAUAAAAAGCUUUUGUAUUAUUUAUAAUCGGAGGCUAAAUCACACAGGCAUGCACACACACAGUUUAGUAGUUGAAUUACUCUCUGUCGGCUUGUCGCCCAGCCGGGGUUUCAGACUCAGUAAAAUAAGGAAUGGAGCUUCCUUUCCUUACCUCAGAGCCUCGCUGCCACUCCAGCACAGUAAUUACCUCGUCCUUCUUUACUGCUAAUGAGAAGGUAAAAUAUGAGCUUCUGGCAACUGCAGUCAUUUGCGACCCUGGCUCGCUCCUGGCAGGAGUGGAGAGGGAGAAGGAGAGAGACUAAUUUCUACCCAGAAGCCACCUCUGAAUGGUGCCAUCCAUCCUUAACCCACCUGUACAAGUUAUCCAGGGUUACCCCAGGUCUGUGUCUGGAUAAUGUUACACUGAGUUGGAUGAGCAGUUUGCUGGAGUGAGCACUUUCUUGGGUAAAUGAAAACAGUCAGACUCUUGAUACUUCCCGACAAACUAUAGCCUCUUAGAAAAGAUCAUAGAGUGGGUGUUCUGGGUUAGGUUUUCAUUACUGUAGUACUGUGAUAUAGAAAGUACUAGUGUUACAUCAAUCACUGCCUUUUGAACCUGUCUGCUAAGGCUUGCAGUUUGGUGUCAUGGUGUUUGGGACUGGUGAUUCGUUUUAGACACUGUACACUCUAAAAACUCUUGGGUUAUUUCUUCAACCCAAUUCCUGGGUUAUAUGUGUUGAGUUAAAUUUCUUGGUUAUUUUUCAGAUCCAUACCCAUUUCGCGGGUCAUAUGGAUUCUAUCGUAACCCAAUUUGAGCGUUUUUUAAAUGGGUUAAUAAUUAUGGGUUAUUUUUCUGAAAGUAACCCAAUGAUUGGGUCAGAACGCUGGGUUCAAUGGACUCUACGUGGUUCCUAGGCCUAAUGGCAAUUAAAGUGACCUUGUGAAAUUUGACCUUGAUUUGGGGUUGGAAUCCCUCAUGAGACACAUCUGUAAGGAGCAAACUACAUCCACCAGUUUGGGUCCUUAGGUAAGACCCUUAACGCUAUGGCCUACAACCAGAUAGAUAAAAGUACAUGGGAAAAUAUGGUACAGGUUGUAAAAGCUAAGCUCCCCAAAUGCAUCUAUCAAUCUAUCCCAAGAUCAUGAGUCAAAUUAACUUAAACAUUUAAACAUUGGGUUAACUUGACUCUUAAAAAGGGUUAUUGAGUCAACCCAAAAUUUGGGUUAAUUUGAUUAACCCAACAUUCUGGGUCAAAAUAACCCAACAAGUAGUUGGUCCUUUUUCAACCCUGGUGUUAACCCAGGGGUUUUUAGAGUGUAACAUCAACUAUAAGCUUUUGAACCCACUUAAGAGUUUUUGAGUGUUGAUGGUGAUCACUUUGAGGUCAACCUUAAGUUUUUUUAAACCCUCCUCUCAAGAUAAGACAUUGGUUUUUUGGUGUUUUGUUGAUAGAGAUUGAGUUGUCAACAUUUUGCUUUUGAACCCUUAAAGCGUCUUUGGUGGUAUUUUGGGUGGUACUGUGGUAGAAGUCAGUUUUGCAUCAACCAGCUGUUAAACUGACCUGGAGUUUGGUAACUUAGACUCAACGUCUUUAGUCUGGUGGUAGCUAUCUCAAGGUCAAAUCUGAGCCUUUGAACUUUCUUCUUAAAACCUGGAGUAAAUGAGUUUAAUUUUGGUGAUUUAAGUUAGCUUUUGAACGCCCCAUUUGAAGUCUGUAGUUGGUGGUUUUUGAGAUGCUCCUAAAGUUUGCAUCAUUAGCUUUUAAAUGUGUUCAGGAGCUUGAUACUGGUUGGUUUUGGUGGUGUGUUUCAUUCGCUUCCUCCUCCUCUGCUUUUAAACCCAUCUUUUUUUGGGGGGUGAAAGCAACUCUAGCUUUGUUCUGGACUUUUGAGCCUCCCUUUUUGAAGCUUUAAGUUCGGCAUUGUUGCAUUUCAGAGGUAUUUUGGCGGUAACUUGUCAACGGCCAAUUAUUCACUUUUUAAACUUCCUGUUUCAAAGCUUGGUGUGCGUUCUUUUGGUGUUGUUACAGUGGUAGCAGCAUUGAUCUGAACCCUUUAAUUAUAGCUGUAUGACUGGCUUUUUUGGCAUCAACCAUUAGCUUUUGAAUCUCAUAUUUAAAGCUCAGUGUUUGGUAGUUCUGUGGUUGUGUUUAGAACCAUAGUUGGCCAUUUCUGAUCCCUGAUUAUUGUUUUAUUUCAGAUUACAGGCCACCCGAGUUCCAAUUUGCUAAUUAAAACUGUAUACAAACACCAAGCUUGUUAUUUUACUGUAAAUUGUACCAUUUAUUACAAAGUGACAAUAAUCCUGCUUUGUCAGAACAAAUCUUGAUUGAUUUUUUUCAAUAGUUGGGAAAUUAGAACCAUUUUCUGGUCUGGUUUAGACAAUUUUGUCUUCCUUUCUGCUGGCUGUUAUAAAUAAUGCAGAUUUGAAGCACUUGUGUGUGGUCCUCAGUUUGAAAAACAGAGGUGAUAUGCUGAGUUAUGAUUUCAAAGUGAACUUUAACUCUUCUUUAGUGACUCACAACAUUAGGAUCCCUCUCAUGACCUUCUUCUGUGAUCUUUCCUUCACUUCCAUGCCCACAUGCUAACACAAAAAAGUCAGACUCUUUUAAGGGUGUAAUAAAACUCAGCGUGAUUUAAGAGCUAUGCUAGAUGACCCCAAUGUGUGAAUUUGACAGAAAUGUGAUCUCUCAAAGGCACCUUUCACCUCCUAUCAGCAACAAAACAUGAACAUUCAAACACCAUCAAAAUGAAAUGCACGCUUUAUGGGCCUGUAAGACUCUUUAUUCACCAGGCGAUCUAUAUUUCCAUGUCAUCGCCGCUCUCCUCUAUUCCAUUAUCAUUUUUUAUCUGAUAGGAAACAAAUCAAGGGUUUCCCAGUGUCAGGAACAAAAGCCAUUUUUGUGUUGAAGGUUAUAGAAAAGCAUCGUCACGUAAGGGAAAUGAUUAUAUUGGUGCCCUUCGGAUAGACUCCAAUGUCACACAUGAGGAGACAAAGAAUUUCAUCACACAGGCUGAGCUUUUUUGCUUUUUUUUUUUGACAGCAAUCAGAUCCAUUUUAUUCUCUUUGUGGGGCUUCGUAUUUGCUAUAAAAUCUUAGAGAUUGACUCCAAAACCUUACCACAGGGGUGAAAAAAUCCUAUUAGAUUGAAAACAGCAAGAGACGUAAAAAAAAAAAGAGAAAAAAAUCGUAUUAGCAAUAAUAACAGAUUGCAGAAUUCACUGCGUCUGGGAUGACUAUUUUAGUGAAAAUGAUACAGCCAGGGUAUGAGAAAUUAAACCCAUUUCAGAGGGUGGUGUCAAUGCUGAUGUUUACUGGUUUUACAGACACUUCCAUUAGAAAACCAUUAGCAAGGCGAUUACUAUGAUUAACUCAAAAUUGACCCACUGCGUCCAUUCACUAAUCCCACUGACCAUAAUGCAAUGCAGUUACCAUAUGACUCGUUUCGGAGCAUUUAAGUGGAUGAACUUUGCACCCCGGUCCUGCUGGAGUUAUCGGGGGGGAUUAACUGGGGUUAGAAACCAAAGAUUGGAAGAUGUACCAUGUCAAUACGAUGUUAUUGCAAUAAAACUGAUUGGCCUGACCUCUGCGCUUCGACAAGAGGAGCUUCGUUCAGCCGGGGCAAUUACAGCCAGAUAACAGGCGGCUGAAUGAAAAUGUUACAGGAGCUCUCUCAGCUGUUAUCAGUCUUAAUUUAGGCAGACUUUUGGGUCAUGGUUCACCUUUAAGAGGUCAAGAAAUCAAAAUCUAUUAAUUCUACACAAUAAUAAUAAUAAUAAUGUAGAAAAUUUUGUAAAAUAUUACCUGAUUUCAACUGAUUACAAGCAAACCCAAUUGUGUUGCUAUAAAUCUCUAAGUUCUGUAAAACUGAUUUUUUUUUUUUUUUUCUUGUCUGCACAAGAUAAAAUCUUGAAAUUAUUUGUCUCGGUGCAAAGAUUCAGCAAUAACAUCGAAAACAGUAUUUGCUCAAAUAAAACUAGAAAAUUCUUGUGAUAAAUGGCGUCAAAUUGAAAACGGAUGGCCAACAAGAUAACUAUCUUGUGAACACAGGAUGAUAAUUUGUUUUGCACAGUAGUUAGACUUGCAUUUGAGCUGAUAAUCUCCUCCCAUUGAAUAAUUUUCUUAUCUGCAAUAGAUGUUUUUACCUUAAUAAUGUUAUCUUGCAAAAUUGCAUUCAAAAUCAUCCAACAUGAUGAUUGUCUUGUGUGAACAAGCUAACUUGUUCCAUUUACGUAUCCAUCUUUUCUACAUAAUACGAUGACUUUUCCCACAAGUUAUUCCGUGAUCCAACUGAUCUGUGCUCACAAGAUAAAAAAUAGUCUUUAUGUGAUCAUUUUCUUUUGUGCACAGGAUAACUUAUGGUGGGUUCCAGUUACCUCUGUCGUUGGAUGUCAGGGAACGGGAAUGGGAAUGACGCUGCACCCGAGUUGACGGCGUUCCAGUUAACAAGUGGGUAAACCAAGAUGGAUGCAAACAGUUAGCGGUUGUUAGCUGUUGGUUACAAUUGUCAGCUGUUGUUGGCUGAUGUCAGUUGUUAUUGAUACCAGUUGUAAACAACGCAUAACACAGUAUUUUACUCUUACAAACACCAUAUCAAUCAUAUGGGCAGUACAACAUAAACCACGUAUUCAAUUUCCCAAAAACAAAACAAAAGUGCUAAUAAAUAAUACAUUAUGAGAGCUUUUACUGUUACUCUUUGCUGUUGAUGCACUGUGCUGCCAUCUUGAAUUAUGACGUUGUCGUCAAGUCAGGGUUGGUGAGGAUUGUCCAACUUUCUGAAUUGGAAAUCCGACUUCAAGGGGACAUUCCAGAUGAAUUUCCAACUCGGAGCUCGGAAAUCCCAAUGAGUACAACUGGAACGCAAGGUUAUUCCUGAAGAUAGUUCUGAUGUGUGCCCAAGAUGAUAACCUGUUCCAACAAGACAACGAUCUUUGAUAUUGGCAUUUCAGUAUUCUACUUUAGCCUAGAGGCACCAGAGGAAUCCAUCAUGUUUUCUGGUGGUUGAAUUUAGCAUCAGUUUCCAGCUAGUAUCAUGCAACAUUGUUUGCUAAUGUUUGUCAAAGUCUUACAGUGACAAAUUUCUGAACAUUUGUUAUAAAUUCUGCAGCUUAAUUUCUUUAUUUGUAGGAUUUUGAGAUUGUAUUUGACAUGUUUCCAGUAGGUCUGGAUGAAGUGGUGAAUGUUUUCCUCACAACAGCUGUUCCAUGAGGAGAUUUUUGGGGAUUAUGUUGUUAAUGCCACAACAGACACCAUAUAAAUCCUCAGAAACACACUUGAUGUUGAAACUGGUAAAUGUACAGCAUUAAUGCAUUUUUACACUUAAUACAGCAGCAAAAAGCCACCAACUCAGCCCUGUUCGAUUCCUCCCACUUUACCUCAGUAUUGCUUAUAACUUUAACUCCAAAUGCAGAUUUCUUGAGUCAAUUAGAGAAACACUAAAGGAUAAAAGGCUACAACUCAGAGAGGCACUUGCACUUAAUUGAUCGUUGUCUGAACAAUGCCAACGCACAGUGAUGUACAAGCUUCUGUUUAAUUACAAGCAUUGUGGAGGCGGGAUUGUAUCAGAGUUCAUGGAGAUUUACUUAAUUUAAAAGGACAUGGCACAUAGAAGCUUGUCUGGGAGAGAAACAAGAUGUGAAAAUCUGCAAAUACCUGGAGAAAACGACCAAGUGACCUGGCAACACUAAUUCUAAAGAUUCUGAGAAUGUGUCCAAGUCAGGCGAGACAAGCACAGUUAAAACGCCAGCAAACAAUUUGGUAGAAGUUUUGGCGCUGUGGGCAGGUGCAAAGUUCUGUUGAUAAAGGAAACAAGCAUCUCUGUGAAGCUUGGCUGCAAUUUGCAUUUCUGUACCACAUCCUGCAGUGAGUCCAACCAUGGAGCCAGCUUUUUACCACUUUCGAACUUCAGCCGUUGCCUUGGGUGGGAUGUAUACAAGUAUUGGUAUAAUAUGACAUGUAUGUCUUUUAACGUAAAUUCUUACAUGCAAAUGGGAUCUGGUUCCACUCUGAGCCAAGCCGAUGACAAAUCAUCACCAUGGACGACCAAUUACUUGUUUAAAAGGGUGCCUCUACAAGACUGUAUUGAAAACAGCAUAUUGUUAGGUAGGCGGGGAACACUUUGAAAUGCUUUAAGUGCAUAUAGGUUUUCAAAAGCAGAGGAAAAUAAGGUUUCAGCUCUUUAUAGCAAAGUGGCUUUUUCAUGCAACUGGAAUAAUAGCUUGGUCAAACAGAGGUGGCGUUCUGGUUCAGCCUAAAAGACAUCCUCAGGCUGCAUCUUGAGGGACUAAAACUUCAGGUUCAGGUGCGCUAAAGCUGGAAAAGAGUUAUAUCUGUUCUGAAAGGCCAGGUGAGAAGGUGGGGUUAAAAGUCCAGAACUGAAUAAAGAGCAGCGAUAGAUUUUAAUUCAAGUUUGCAGUCUCUGAGAUCCAGUCAAUUCCUGCAUGAAGUGGGAGCAAAUGUCACUCCGUUGGCUUUGAUUACUGUGCGACAUUUAAAAAGUUAGAAAACACCGUCCUGUUUUGACCAAGCCUCGUUCAGACCAUUACAGGCCGGGAAUGUUUCUUCAUCUGUUGAUUCCAAGCCUGAAGGUCAUGACCAGGACAAGAAAUGUAAAUCUGGUGGUCGUUUAUUGGUAGAAUACAGUAAAAUAGGGCAAAGCUUCACCAAAAUGCUUGAUGAGUGGAUUAAACCGUUCAACCGACCCUUCAGCAAUCAACCAGAGCGCAAAUAUUCAAUAAUUCUGUUGCUUUUUCCUCAAAUCAUGAUUCAGCACAGCACCAUAAGUUUGCACAUCUUGACACUGUACUUAAUCCUCAAUUAAAAUGUAUCAUCAUUCCAGUAUACAUCCGAAUGCAAGAAAGAAAGAAAUUGUUUAGCCCUGGAACAACCCCAGCCUGAUGAAACCUCGGCGCUCCAAAGCAAAGCAGAUCAGAAAAUGACAUCUCCCUAUUCAGAUUGACUGAUUCCUGCCGAGGCUUGCGCGCAGAAAGCGCACGCUCCGGGCUGCUCAUACAGAAGGCUAACCACACGUAGAUAAGGCCGAACCCGACUGGUGACACGCCUGGCUUGGAAAAGGGGAGGAAGAAAGCAAAUCACUCAGGACAAUCUAUUCCCUCCGCUGCCAGUCACUUCACUGCCGUCAAUUCAAUACCGGCUGCUCCAGAGCGACACAGUGGCCUCUGAAUACCAUUUCCAUAUCAUUAUUCCUACAUAAAUGGCAGACCGCUUGCUGUUUCAUCAACCUUUUGGACCACAUGCUGGUAAAUAAAUAAACAAAGUUCUCAGGUGUAUAUAUGGAAAGGGUGAGGAGAAGCUAAUGGGAUGGAGAGGCCCGCAAAUAGGGACCAGGAAGUGCUUUGUAGCUGUGGCUGGCUUUAUUGUCGGACGGGUUGACCCCCAGUUGAAUGAACAUUUGUCAUUGGGGAAGGGGGGGCGGUUUUCUCUUUGUAGGUUUGCGCAGGUGGACGGACUAAAUGGGUGCAAAAAUGCAAUUCUCUUGGGGGAAUGAGGGUCUUUUCAAGUCCAGGACUGGCAUGUUUGUCUUGUUUAUUAAAAGAUAAAUAUUAUAGAAAAUGAGUGUUUGUGCACUAAACAACCAUGAGUGGAACAGUUGCUGUGGUUACCAAUAAGACUUUUCUUGUUGGUCCAUGCCCAGAAUGAAAAAAUGCCCCAUCUAUAGCUCGUUGUACACUUCAGCUAUUGUACAAGCAGCUAUGUAAUCUACUAGGAAUAAACAACAACCUGAACCUGAACGACCUGGAAAUAUUUUGUUUUAUAAAUGUUCCGUUUUUUAGUAAAGUUAAAGCUCCUGUGUGGAACUUUCAGACAGAUGCCCCCUGUGGCCACUUUUGUCCUCUACCUCCUUAAAUUGCAUCUUGACAAAAAAAAAAAAAGAUCCAAAUUACUGGCUUCUAAAAGUCAAAUGUGAAUGUUUUAUGUGGGAUUUAUAAAUAAAUAAAUAAUAAAAAAAAAAAGGGGUUGCUCAACACCUGCCCCCUUACACCGCUUUCAGGUAUUAAAAAUUGUGACUUAAAUUUCGUCAGUCUUGUCACUGAUGGUGUUGUUUGCUUUCAUUUAUCAUAAAAAGGCAUUAUUUAGAAUUUUAGUCAAUUUCUCAAAUGUCAAAAACAAAAAAAAAACAAACAAACAAAAAAAAAAAAACAGGGCUCGGUCAACACCUGCCCCCUUUACACUAGUUUCAGGCAUUGAAAAUUAUGCCCCCUGUGGCCAAUCUUGUCCUCUGCAUCGUUAAAAUGGCAUCUUGACAAAAAAUAAAUAAAUUAACUGGCUUUUAAAAGUGAAAUGUGAAUGUUUUAUGUGGGAUUUAAAAAACAAAACAAAAACAAAAAAAUACAAUAAUAAUAAUAUUAAUAAUGAUAAUAAUAAUAAUAAUAAUAAUAAUAAUAAUAAUAAUAAUAAUAAAAAGGGCUUGGUCGACACCUGCCCCCCUUACACUGCUUUCAGGCAUUAAAAAUUCUGACUUAAAUUUCGUCGGUCUUGUCACUGUUGGUGUUACAGCUGUAGCUGUAAACCAAAAUAAAGGAAGUGUUCUUCAAUUGAGCUGUUUUCUGCUACAGUUAAAGCCCCAGUGCUGUUCUCAUUUCAAAAGGUCCUGAACCACUGGUUUAGACACGACCCAUCCCCCAGCUCUCCAAGCUUCCAGUGUGAGGCUUACUAACUAAUGGCCACAAGUUAACAUCUGUCCAUCAGGGAGAGUUUCCAGAGGAGUUAAAAACAGUCCUGGAUCUAUUACAGAUGAACUGCAGUGCCGACUGUAAUUAUAUCACAGUUCCAUUUGGCGUGUCUCUAAGCACGUCUUAUUAUUCUUGGUAUUAAAUAUUACAGUAUUUCUAUCAGAAGUUUGGACUGUGAUAAAGUUCCUGAGCCUUAAACACAAAGUUCACUUUCAAAAGUCUGCCCCUUAUCAAGACCAGCGUCUUUCUGCUGCAGCCGCCCUCCCGCUGUGAAGUUAAAAGCAUUCACAUUUCACCGCCACGCUGGUGUGACAGAUGCUUUUAUCAACCUAAAUGCUCUUUUCGGUGUCUUAACAUAUAAUUUGAGAAUAAACCGCCACUCUCGUCUGUCAUUCAUGGCGGACGCUUGUAACAACAUAGUCCCACAACUCGGCCCCUUUAAUUAGACCGGAGCCGGCGAAGAAGUCUGUGUGGGAGACGUUUUACAUGGAGGUUAUAUUUUUUUCUUUUUCAGCACAGCAAGACAUUAAGUUUUUUUUGAAUCACCCGAGUUGACCUGCCGCCUGCCAAAUUGAAUUUUUAAGUUCAAAAGCACAGGGGAAUUUGUACUCAUGGUGACUAAAGUUAAAAAAUGUAUCUUUUGUGCUUCACUCUUUUGGUGCUUCUGUGAUACAAAGGUUAGAGUUCUUGAGAUAAAAGUAGUAAAAAUCAAAGCUUUUAAUGCAUGUCUCAUUUGCUUUAAAAGUGUGACUUGACUUUGUUGCUUUUGCAGCUUGUUUAACAAGUAAAAAGUCAUAUGCGCUAUGUUUCAAACAUAAAUAAAUACUGACGUUCUUUGAGAUUAAGGGAUUUUAGACAUGCGAUUAAAAUUGCGAUUAAUCGCGAUUAAAUGUCGAAAUUAUGCGAUUAAUUGUGAUAAAAAAUGUCAAAUAUAAACAUCCUCAUCCUUUAAUGCAUGUCUCAUUUGCUAUAAAAUUGUGACUUGGCUCGGUUGCUUUGGCAGCUUGUUUAACAAGUUAGCACAAUGUGUCAAAUAUAAAUAAGAUUAACCAUGGUGGUUAAUCGCGAUUAACCAUCAAAAUUAUGCGAUUAAUUGUGAUAAAAAAUGUAAAAUAUGAACAUCCUCAAAUGAUUAUUUAGAUAUCUAGUUUAAACAUUUUUAUAUACAUUUACAAAAGCCAAAGAUUAAAGUAGUUUUCUCUAUCUAAUGCAGAGACAGGAAGCUGCUUUGACACUCUGCGGGAGCCGCUCACAGCACUCAUACAAACAGCCUCAUACAGAGAUGUGUUUGUCAGCGGCAGACCGUGAAAAGUUCAGCUGUUGUUGAUGUUUUUCUCCUGACAAACUUGUUGAUCGCUCGGUGUUUUCCAGGUACCUUCACCCUGAUUGAAGCUGCUUUCACUCCGGGGACAUGAUGUGAUGCAUGUGAACAUUUUGAGCCCAUUUAGGAACUUCAGCGUCAUUUACCAAUACAUAACCUAAUGUAGAUUAUUCUGAGCCAACGGAGCAGAUAAGUGAUCCGCCGGACUACAGGUUUCUGCGAGGUUAGAUUCAUCACACGACCAAACUGCAACACAGCAAUGUGCUUAGUCAGUAUUAAGGGUAGACGAUAGAUUGUGUUUGUGUAUUGGCAUGAUCUCCCUCUCCAUCAUCAUCUUUACUUUGCUUGUAAACACACACACACACAUACACAACUACACACAAACACCCCCUCAGUAACACUCCAUCCUGGCAGUCAUUAGAGUCCCAUGAGCUCUUUUGCUUGUAGCACCUCAGUCCCGUAGAUCUCUGCUGCCAAUAAUCGUUAUAAUUGAUGAUUUCCUUCUAAGCCUCUAAUGAUGUUUCUAGUAUUUAUGGUUACACAAAGCCAGGCGAGCUGAUUCAUAAUAGUUUCUUCCUGCCGCUUUAUUGGCAUGGCGUUUCUCACAUUCUCAUCACUAAAUUAAUUUUGACCUGGCGAUGCCGUAGAUCACUUUAAACCGCUGCGCGCCGUCUCACUGUGACCAGGUUUUCUUAAGCUGUUGUCGUAAAGAAUGGUUUAUCGACCCUUCCUGCUGACGCUUUAAUAAGUGCUUUGCAUAACAAGUGUUUUACUGCAAGAUAAAUCACAUGGGCUGGCGGCGGGCUGUCAAAUACACAAGUGCACACAUGUGUAGACAUAAAGCAAGGCAGUGCUCAAAAGUGGGCACCGGUAUUUACUGAUUAAACUCUGUUAAAUCUAUAAAAAAGGCAGUGAGAUUUAAAGCUCCUGUAAGGGAUUUUAGUUGAAACAGAGAAACGUGGAUAAAAGUUGUCCUCAUUUAAAUUCAUAGCCAGCAGGACCGAGGGAGGCAUUUUCGCCAUCAUAUUGCAUAAGUCAGGUGCAAAUAUGACUGGACCCCAAAAAAUUCUAACAAAGGUUUCUCACCUGUUUUUCAUUGUAUUAGAUGUCCUUAAUAACAUACUAAAAGUUCACCAAAGUUCGACUGCUAGAAAGGUGUCACUUUCACGAUUGCGUCCAUGAACUUAUUCCACGUCACUGUGGAGUCCGUCUGAGUAUGUUAUUGAGGACAUCUUAUACAAUAAAAAAAAACAGUUGAGAAACCUUUUAUUAGAACUUUUUUGGGGUUAGAUGUUUUUUUUUUCAUAAAUGCACCCGCCUACAUCACCUCUUCUUCAAACGGUGCUCUAUAAAUGUCCGGGAACCAACUAGACCAGUUUCUGGAGUUUCAAAAGUGAAAUGUUGUCCCACUCUUACCUGAAGUAGGAUUUCAGUCGCCCAAUAGUCAUUGUUGUUGUAUGUUUUUGUGCACUUAUACAUCCCAUCAUCCAUCACGGAGGCCGGGUUUUGGACUGUGCGGGCCCUGUACCGAUUUCAAAGGGAGGACGCUCACAGAUGAUGGUUUUUGGGAGUGAUUGUAAGGCCAUGCGGCACUUUCCACUACAGAGUCACGUCUUUUUCAAUGCAGUGUUGCCUGGAGGCUGAAGAUCUGAGGGAAAAAUGUCUGAUUGAUUGUUAUGGACGGAGCUAGGGGACCUUAAUUAAGGCAGGAGCACCAGUGACCCAAACAACAAGAAUAACAACAGGGCAAAAAAAGAGCAACAGGCCUUAUUUAUUAGUUGAAAAAAUGAGAUGACUGAAGAUGAGCUCUCGCCGAGGUGCAUAUUGAUCCGUCGAGAAGAAUGUUAGGCAUAUAUAAUAAAAACACAUCAACUUUCAUCCCUUUAAAUGAUGACCUGCCUGUUGUGAGCAUGCUAGCCAACAGCAGCAGAUCUGUUAGGAACAGGAGGAAUUCAAUCAGGGAGAUCCAUGGACCCGAGCGGAGGCCCCUGAGUGAGAUCGAUGGCCUGAGAGGCAGGUUGCGAAGGGGUCAGCUCCCCUGGUGCGGCGUUUUAUCUCCGUCCUGUUGCCACUCCUGUUUAGGAACGUUGUUGCCGGGGAGGGUGGGGGGGGACUGGAAGCAGUGUUGCAUCCUGGUCCCAGAGGCAGCCCAGGCCUACCACAAUAAUAUCAUUUUAUGUCAGCCAUGAGUGAAAGUUUCCCCAACUUGGGGCGGGCUGAUUGAUGGCUGUUGUAAAUCAGGGCUGAGAGUGCUGCAUGGGGUUUUAUAGUGCGGGGAAAUGAUGCAGGUUGUAUACAACUCUCCUUAACACCUCCACGCUUUAAACCCAGUGACUGUCCAAGAAAUGUGCGCUUUUUAGAGUACUACACCCACCCGAACUGCAGGAAAGAAUUUGCAAUGGUAAACAUUCAAACACUACAAAAUAUCCCUUUGUACAAUAUUAACAUAAUUCGAGUCAUUAUGUCCCAGACUGAAUUACCAACAUGGCAAAUCACACUGCUGCUCUAGGGACCAGAAAGCUCCGGGCACUCUUCAUGUGAAUUAGUUUCUGUAAUAUGAUUGAUUGCUUAUUUGUUAGAGAGUUUGCAGCACUGGAGUACAACUAAUAGAGGCUUGGCACCGGGAGAUCAUUUCGCAGCAGUCUUGUCCAGAGGCCCUGUGUCAGAAUCCAGUUUAAAGGAGCUCCUCUGUUGUAAUUUUUUGUUCAUUUUUUUCGUGUUAGAGGUUUUGUUUUAUCACGCUACCAAAGUAAAGUACAAAUGAACCAGGAGUAAUGAUUGCUCCAGGAAAAAUGGACGUAAUGAAGUAACUAGGAGCUUACGGUUUGCACAGAGGUUGGUAAAUUGGGGUCAGUUUUGGGGGUAAACCUGUACUUUUUUCACUGGGGUAGUCCAAUUACCAUUAAAAUACUUAAUUUAUGCUUCGUGUCUAUAAUUGCUUUUACAGGAAAACAGAGUGGUAGCAUAUGAACCUUAAAAAGUAUCAAAAAUUUGCUCAAUUAGUCAGUUUAAUUGGACCAAUAUCCUCGAGCCCCAGAUGACCUGGUCACACGCCUCCUUUACAGCUUGUUACUGGCCUUUAACCAAAGCAAUCAGGUGUUAAUCUGACUUUGACAUCUUUGACCUAAUGGGAUUUCAUGUAGACUGGCAUGUUGUGUAUAUUCAAGUCUAGUUUCCAUUGGACUGGCACAAUAUAUCCAUAUUUUUUGACAGUUUGUCUCCGUUUGGUAGUUUGCUUGUGUUUUUUGAUGGACUAAUUCAUAACAAGUCUCAGAAACUUCAGAGAACAAAAGUCUUUUAAAUAAAUGAGCAAAAUAGCCAGGAACAAUGUAAGAUUUUUGGGGUGGCCAAUUAGAAGGAGGGCAAUGCCACCCCUGGCCUUCACUCUGGACACACCCCUGGUCAGUUUGGGCCUGAUAGUUUAUUUUACUCUGAGAAAUCUGCCCCUGGAAAAGUUAUCAUCACAGAGCAGUUACCUGAAAAUAUCUCUACGCCCUUUAUUCGGUAUAUGUGCAGAAAGAUGGAGGAAAUCAAUCAUUUUGGUCGAGCAGUGUGUCUAAUGUACAUGAUGAAGACUCAGCGAAUCUGCUCUCUAGCCAAGAAAUGAGGGGAUCUCCAGAGUCUGAAUUGAUUUUUGAAGUUGGCGCCGAAUGAGUAUAUUCCAACAGAAUGAAUUUAUUGCCAUCUUGAACCAAGACAUCUGGUCUCACCAAUUUAUAACCUUGGACCCAGAUUGAGUUCAGGCAAGACUGAACAAAUAUUAGUGCCAAAAUAGAGAGGGAUGCCAAGGCCUGGAUGGUGGAUCAGCACUUUGGACUUGCGUACAGCGCCUUAAAUUAAUUUUUCAACAAACUCCCAGCGUAAACUUUCACACUCCAAAUCCUUCUUUCCCCAAAGUGUUUCUGUUGCGAUCUAAUUCAGAUAUUAAACAACUUUCUGUAUUCUUGUUUUCCAUGCUUUUGAGUUGUUUCCUGCAGCGUCGUGACCACAGACAAGAACACUUAAGACGGUAAAUUCUGCAUCAAAGCAGUCUAUCUCAGCUCUUUAUUAUCCCUCCUCCUGCUUUCCAUUUCUAUUUAUCAUAUGUAUUUCCUCUGUGCACCAUAGGCUUUUUCAUCUGACCUUGUGUUGAGCCACAAAGAGCUUUCGGCUUCUUGCGCUGACAUUAAAAAAAGAGCCUGAAAUUUUUGUCCAAGUUUUGACGAACUGACUGACGUAAGAAGAAGACACAUUCAGGUCUGAGUGUCCUCCAAAAACUAGGGCAUAUAAUCUGAAAACAGGAACAUCGCCUUGAGAAGAAGAAGAAGCGCGACUUUCAUGGAUCAAUUCCCUGAAGUGAGAUCGACAGCAGGAUCAUGAUUCACAGUGCCGGUCUUGCUUUUCAACAACACAACACCAUACAUGUACCAUCAUGUACCCCUGUAACAACACAAUACCUUUCAGAGCGUAUUUGCACUCGAGUUAAAGGUUUGGAGGAAAUAUUGCUUGUUAGAGUUCAUCCUGAAAGCAAAAGCGGAGCAGCACUGCGUCAUACAUACAGGGUAAAUGGAAAACUGAGCUCAAUAUAUGCUUGACGGGGUCACACAAGAGAGUACUUAUGAGAAAUGUGCGUCUGGUUUUCGAGUAGAGCUGCAGCAGCCAUCUAUUAUGGAGUUUCUAUAGAUAUUAUUGAAGGUUGAGUCAUGGAUGUAAACGGUACAAUGAGAGAACAUAUGGAAACUUUUCAUCAUACGUUUGACCAUCGGAUAGGAACUAAAGCUUGAACUUCGCCAAAAGUUCAGAAAAAAUGACCUUACAAAGAGCAACAUUAGUCACAGCAAGAGCCCUAGCAAGAGUGAGGUACUGAGUUUGUUCAAUUUGGAAUUUAGUUAUUAUUAAAAGUCAUUUUCGAUAUUCUAUUGUGUCUGUAAGCAACUUGAACGUAAACAGCAGUUAUUUCCCUUAACAACUUGGAAAAGUCGACGAAGCUGACAGAACACUUUUUCAUUUGUAAUUUAUGUAAGAUGUGGUGAUUUUUGACAAUUUUUACUUUUUUAUCGCCUAAAACGUGGGCGCCAUUAAUCUUAAUGGUCCUAACCCUGACUAAUCUACCAGUAUAUAAUGUAUAAAAGGGUUUUUUUGUAAUUGUAAUGCUGUAGUUUACCCAGAAGAUGGCGCCAAACUAGCCAAAGCUUCAUCACACACGUCCACCAUCAUGACUGCGACGAUCACCCCACAAACUUUGUAAAGCGCUGUUAAAACUGAUAAUGAGUUGAGCUCAAGUUUAUGCUAACUUCUGGGCAGCUGGCAGGAUUGGCAGCUUAAAGGUGGGGUAGGCAGGAUCUGAGGAAGUUCCAGUUUUUGGGAGAAAUCUUGAACAUAAACACUACCCCUUCAACAGACGACCAGCAAACACAAUGUUUGCAGGACUUCUACAACGAGGAUAAAGUGACAUAGUCCAGGACCCGAGGGAGACAGUUACGCGGCGCUACAACACGCAGCAGGUCCAGUUUGACAAGAAACACUUCUGUUACAGACACUUGUCUUACUUUGUUAAAGCGGUUUACCUGUCCAGCAGAAAGGUUACAGGGUCCGUAAGAUCCCAAAGCAUCUCCCAUCAUUGUUGACCCGGCUUUUUUAGCUCUUGUCCAGGUGGCCUCCCUCCUUUUUAAGCGCCCGUUAUUCCGCCAGAGUCUCCGGUAUUUCUCUUCCUUUUCCUUUUACUUCCUUUUCUUGCUUGUGUCGGCAGUCGUGGCCAAAGGAGGAUUCAGACAAUUUUCCGAACUUUCUGGUUGGUUUCUACUCUCCGAUAUUGUAGCACGCUAACUUUGUUUGGACUCCUGAACGACACGGGGAGCAGCAUCCGCCUCACAACCAAUCAGGUUGGGGAGGCGGAGAAUGGCUUUGUUUACAGUCAGAAAAAGCGCUCAAAAAAUUUAAAAUGUUGAUUACACAGAGAUAACAAAACACAGCGAUAUCGUUAUAUUACCAAAUGUCAUCAAUAACUAAUAGCUAUUGACUGAUAUUAAAAUCUUUUUUGUAUAUACACCACAAAAAAAGAUGCUUCUUUAACGGAUUCCUGCCUACCCCACCUUUAAGAAGGUACUAGAUAGAGCUUCUUGCAUGAUGAGGACUAAGCCAGUUCUUUCUUUUCCUUGACCAACAAGCCGUAUCUCAUAUUAACACUCAUGAAUACUCCAGAUUUGAUAGGACUUAAAUUAAUUAUUCGUAGUAUUUUCCACUAUGUUUAAAGAGUGGACAUGUGUCCUAUCUGUUGCUGUUUCAAUAAAGCGAGCAACUCCUUGUACAUAAGGCUAAUUAGCAGCAACAUGAUUUUGCUUUGUUACCUCACACAGAUUACUCCUGUCAUUGUUUGGUGGUGGGCGUUUGCUGAGUGUAAAAAUACAUAUUUCAUAAUGAAAGUGAUAACAGAGUCGUAUUCCUCUCAUCUCUGGCUUUAAAACAAGUGAUCAAAAGUUCUUGUUUUUAUUCAAAGUGCUUCUUGCUCUUUUUUUUUCUCCUUUUGAAGACACGACUGCCUGCCUAAAGUGACUGGUAAGUCUGCUAAAAACACACAAACACACACACACACACACACUCGGUCUUUUAUUUCCAGAGCUAUUUUUGCAUCUUUAUUUUUCGUCUUGUACUUCUUGUCAGUUAUUUUUCUCCCUUACUUGAUAGAUUUAAUAAGCCGCGAGUUUCAUAGUCUCAACUUCACAGUUGGUUCUAUCAAAAGUCUUUGUGUUAGUGAUCAUUUCUGGGGAAGGCUGUGCACCUGUUCAAGGAUUUUUAUUGAUCACUCAAUCAACUUUUCUUUUUUGGACUUUUAAAAGCUUUUCAGAAUAGUAUUCUUACUUCUGAGUAAACCUACAGCCUCCAGCUCAGACUGAGAAGCACUUUGGUCUGUAUUUCCGUACAUGCAAGACUGUUAUACGUGCAGGAUACAUGGAUAGAGUGUUUUUAAGGUCAUGUAUAAGGACGUUUAUCUGUUUACAACAUGUCCAAGUUGUCUUUUAUUUAAGGUGAUAAUUUCUGUCACAAUAAAUCAACAAAACACAUUUGCAGCUGCUCAGUUUAUAACCUCAUUAUCAUUGUAGUGAUUGAUGCUAAAAUAAUGAACUGCUGUGCUGAUUAGGCGGAGAAGCACCAAAACAAACGACUUUGAUCUGAAGGAUAUUAAAGUAAGAUGUAUUUUUUGAGAAUAUCGGACCUUUAAAAGAGUAGUACUCAUUAAGAUAUCUUUUAUUUUUAGAUUUCUGCAGCUGGACCUUGAAAUCUAUUGAAUUUGUUGCACAUAUAGGAACACAUUUAUCAUAAUCCAGGGGUACAACAAGGCCAGGGUUAUAACAAGUGGGUGAUCACGACUUCUCUGUCCUCAUGGAUUACUAAUUUACUUGAUUAAUUGGUUGAGUUAAGUAAUUUAGUGUCAUUAAAUAUCGUUAUCUGUAUAUCAUUUUCCACUCCUUUCUGAGUAUUCUUCAAAGAUGAAAAAUUACAGUAAUGGCAGUUAGAGUUAUGUCAUGGUUACACAUGGUAACUAAGUUAAGAUAACUGUUUCCACUUUGUCUCAGUCCAUGAAUUCCAAAUUAACGCCACAAUGCAGCUGCUUGUUUGUAGCGAGACCUCGGGCCAGUCCAUUACGGACUACAGCGGGGUGACGCAGCUCAAGGAAGAACAUUUAUGAUCAUUUCUUUAUGGAAAUGCAAUCAGACCGAGACGCUAAGGCAGAAGAACUACUGUGUCUGCAGUGCAAAAUGAUUAAUAUGAUGAUUAUUACUUGGUUGCUGGAAGAGAGUAGGUGAGUUGUGUUUAGUCUCUUUGCUAAAGAAACCAGGCAAAGCUAAAAAGAUGUUUGGUGUCUAGUACUAUGUCUGUGACCCUAUAUGUCCUGUUGAUGAAGUUAGGUGCUGUUCUGAGCAUUAUUUGUGGCUAUAGAGUGGCUUUCUGGUUGAGCGCAUGGCUCCCUGUAUUGCUAUCUGUGGUCAUUACUUAAGUUGAUAUAACUAGAGAAGCAAGUGGUCGGCAACAUUCAUCUCUCGAGGGGGUGUCUAACUCGGUGUUACGGUGUGUUUGACCCUAAAUUAAUUUUACACCGGAAUAUCCCUUUACUUACAGAUUUCUCCUGGAUUUAAAUCAUUAACAAACUCUCAAAUUAACAUUUAAUGGACAUUUUUUAAUUGGAGUGUUAAUGAAGUCCAAAACACAGAACACAUCAGUUGUUGGUUUGAUUUGCUCCAUGAGUCAUAAACCUUUAGCCUGUUUUUAUGACUAAUUGAAUUUAAAGAUGGAAAAUUUGAUUGAGAUGCAUCAUUUGUGUCACAGAUUACAACCAGGAUGUUGAAAAACAAGGUGUGUUACAAGAAUUCACAGGACUUCAAUAACUUCUAGGAAAAAAAAAGAAUAAAGUCAGCCAAUAUGUCUUUGACUCGGUUUUUAUUGCAUGUUUUAGCCCGCGGCACUUGUACAAAAUUGUCCCUGUUUCAUAUUUGAUUUGAUACAUUAUGAACAAAUGUUGCAUUCUCAAUAAACUAACUGCUGACAGAGAGUCACAAAUCAAUGUUUUCUUUUGUGGUUAUACAUAUUUUCUUAAAGAAACUGUACAAUUCAUGAAGAAGCUCUGAGCUUACACAAAGUGUAUCUACGUGUGACUACACUGAUUCUAUUGAAUGUCUUUCUUUAAAGAUGUAUUUGAUCAAUUGUUGAUGUUGCUGUCUAAGAAGACAUGGAGUCAUUCUCUUGUCAACCAGUUCUUGAUACCUGAGGCUGUACGGAUAUUUAUUGAAAGGGGAAAAUGAAUGUUAGAUGAAGAUCCCGUGGUUUAGUGGGAGUUGGUCGUCUCCCAGAAGGUUGAGGGUUUUACUCAAGUGUCCUUGAGCAAGACAUUAAGCUCCAAAGUGAGUAAAUUAGUUAACACUUAUGAGUUCUUCAUGUAACAACCUCGAAUUAAGUCUGAGCAAGUAUUUGAGACGUGACCUGUAAGUGUCAUGUCAAUUGUUGUGGGGUCUCAUGGGAAUGCCAAUGGAAACCAAUGGUUUUUGCCACAGUGUUAACAGACAAAGGGUCCAUAUAAGACGAGAAAAGGGUCAAUAACUGACAACCCAAAGAGUUUUAACCAAUGAGUGACAAGUAUUUAAUACAGCCCGGUCAUUCUUAAGACCUUUACACAUUGAGAAUGUGAACAGAAACCAACGUUUUUGACACAGUGUCAACAGGCACACAUAUGUGGGGUCAAGAAAAGACAGGAAAUUGCCAGAUGGUCCUUUAAAGAAACAAAGGCCUCUAAAAAGGUGGAGUUUUGACCAAGUUAGGUAACCUCCAGCAGCCACCAUAUUGGAAAUGCUGACUAACACUAACUUUGUUGACCUAGCAUGUUGCGUCGUCGUCGUUUUCUUCCACUUCAUCCGGGUCCGGGUCACGGGGGCAGCAGCUUCAGGAGGGAAGCCCAGACGGCCCUCACCCUGGCCACUUGCGCCAGCUCCUCCGGGGGGAUUCCCAGGUGCUCCCAGGCCAGCCGAGAAAUAUAAUCCCUCCACCUGGUCCUGGGUUGGCCACGAGGUCUCCUGCUGUUGGAACAUGUCUGGAAAACCUCUAACAGGAGGCGUUCAGAAGGCAUCCUGACCAGAUGCCCGAGCCACCUCAGCUGACUCUUCUGGACGUGGAGGAGCAGCGGUUCUCCUCUGAGCGCCUCCCGAGUGUCUGAGCUCCUUACCCUAUCUCUAAGGCUGAGCCUGGACACUCUGCGGAGGAAACCCAUUUCCGCUUGUAUCCGUGAUUUUGUUCUUUCGGUCAUUACCCACAGUUCAUGGGCAUAGGUGAGAGUCGGCACGUAGAUUGACCGGUAAAUCGAGAGUUUCGCCUUACGGCUCAGCUCUUUCUUCACCACGACUGAUCGGUGUUGCGAACAAGCAGAAUUGAGGCAAACUUUCAGUCUCUCUGUAACCUUGAAAUCUUCCAAACUACAAGUUGGAGCAGGGAUGCGUUUGUCCACAGGGGGCGCCAAAAUCAACAGAAACCCACAUUUCUUCACAGAGGCUUUAAAACAAACAGUUCUGAAGCUUGGUUUUUCAGGGAAACAAAUACUGCACCUUUCCGAGUGUUAUUGCUCCCAUUUAUUUCUCCACUUUGAUAUUUUUUCCUUUCUUUUACUGAUGAAACUGCUUCAAGAGUGAGCGAGGUCAUCAUUGCACUUAAAUUCAAAUGUAAAAGCUUCAGAAAAACAGGGCCCAUUAUGCCACCGUGAUAAUUUCACCAAUUUUAUGUUCUCUCCCUCUGUCUUUCACAGUCACAUAGGUUACUGCUCUGACACACGCACACACACCCACGGACACACAGACCUCGGCCAAGUCAUAAUCUUUCUUACUGCAUCUAGCGAUAUGAGGAAAGCUGACUUUUCCACAUCAAGAUGAGAGGGGUGGGAGCAUUAUCAGCCCCAGAGAAAGAUAAGAGUGACGUUAUUGGGGCCAGGAGUCCUGCGUGCAAAAUCCAAAGGUCAUCCGAGCAUGACUUCACACCAUUCGACACAGAAACGCUGAAGGUCAGGGAGAUUGUUGCAGUAAUCUAUCCAUAAGAAUGACAACUGCACAUUUGGUUUCAUUCAGCAUGAUUUUGCAGUUUGUUUGCAAGAAAUGGCAUUUCAGAAAGCUCAAAUUGGUCCCAAAUUUCAUAAAUGCUUGGGCACUUUGUAAACUGUUGAUAAAAUUUAGUUUGCUAAUCAUUUUGGCUCUUUAAUUAACUGAAAAUAUUGAAAGGACAACAUAACAAACCAAAUUAUAUGAAGACAAAAGCGCUUUUUAGAUUUGACACCAUCGACAUUUUUCUAAACAGUCGAUACAAGGACAGCAAAACUCUAAAAAAGUUGUGAAAUACUUUCCCGGAUAAACCUUUGACCACAAUUUUGUUAAUUUGCCGUGACAUACCACAAGUUUGUAGCAUGUGCAGUAAAAAUUGCAUUCCAGCGAGACUGAGGCUGUUAGGAGCAAAAGAUGGGAAAAGACUCUCCACUCUGUGAGAGGCCGGGUGAGGGUCAACAACUCCAAUAGAAGGCUUCUGCAAAUACGGCUGCAAAGAAUUUGAGUAUUUCAUCAUUUUUAGCACAUAAUUUUAUAAAAAGAUCGAAAGAAUCUGGAGAAAUCUGUGUAUAAAAGAAGCACUGCAUUAAAAACAGACCUGUGGAAAUCUACGGAUUGGCUGUUUGGUGACACAUUCCCUCUCCCCCAAGUUUCAGACACCCAUAUGAGUUUAAUCCUUUUUCAUUCAUGUUAAAAAACUCCACACAGGAGCUUUAAAUCUCAGUUUUAAACAUCAUGGUGCAUUUUAUGAACAUUUUACACAGCAUACCAAUUUUGGGGGGAAUUGUGGCCGUAAUUCAGAGGGACUUUUCUCAGUCAAGAGGACAAAAUUACAACUACUAAGCAUCCAGAGAGGUGACCGAGGGAAUGAGAGAGGCAGGGACACUGUAAAAGUCCAGGCCACUGAACCCUGCUAGUAUCAAGUAGCAUAUUAAUUCUAGUGGAGCACCCGGGAUAAGUGGGGCCCCUGGGCACUACACACUCCGGAUAUAAUCAUGAAGCCUCUGCAGUCAAUAGCAUAAUAAAAUAUACAGUGUACAGUUAAGCUGUGAAAUGGAUGCGAACAAAUCCUGCAGCAAAGACAAUCAAGAAGAUGGGAAUUGCAGGGGUUUUAUAAGGUAAGCAGUUUAUUCAGCAUGUAGAUGAGGAAUCAGCAACACACAAGGCGUCUAUUUGGUCGGAAUUGAGAUGUGAUUUAAUUGAGCUACGCCAGUUUUUCAAGAAAUGAAAUUCCCAAAAUAACAUCAGUUCCAAUCAGAGCGUUUCUGUGUUAGACUCGCACAUCAAAAGCCCCAAUAUAAUCCGAAAAUAUCAUACAUUUUGUCCACUUUGUGUGCCUCCACAUCAGGCGUCUCGGCUGUGUUCUUUAGACUCACAGUAUGGGCCAUUUACUGUCUUAGUGCAGUUUGUUUUUGCAGCAUAGGUCAUUCAAAACAAAUAAAUAACUGCACUGAGAGGUCUGACAGUGCAGGGCGCCGUCCGCCUUCCAAGUGCGCUGUGCUGGGCUGCAGUUUGUCAGAAGUGAGAGUACAAUCUAAAAGCCUGCAGUUUGUGCUGGACAAACUGCACAUGUACUGUCUUACAAAUGGCACAAAAAGCACCGCGGCUUUCGCGGCUCAGAGAUGGAUAUUGGCAUGUCACAGCCAGCAGUUCCUCAUGUUUGAAAAGCUCGGAGGAAAAAUUAAUGGAGGGUAAAUGGAAGUCUGAACCAGUGAUCAUAUUCAGCUAUUUCUUUCCUGUGCUCUUAACUGUUCUGGGCAGCACAGUGAGUGAAAUACAAGCCAAUAAUUCCUGCCAAAGCCGGUUCAUGGUGGGUGUUGGACUCCACCAAGGCUGACCGGUGUUGCUUGAUCUGUUUGUGAUUUUCAUGGACAAAAUGUCUCGCCACAGCUUGAGGGGUGGAUAAGGUCCAGCUGGGUCCUGUUGGGAAAGUAAACGCAGGUCUGUUUGCAGAAUUGGCUUGAAACCAGCUGUUUGCGGUCAGAUAUAAAGGUACUAUAAGGAACUUUUGACAGUUUUUUUUACAUGUACUGAAAUUGACGCUGAUAUCUCCCUCUGACCAAUCAAAGCAAACCAGCCCAGUGAGUAGAAGAAUUAUGAUCUUAUUAGAAUGAAUUAUGAAUGUCAGGGGUGGGUGUCAGAUGAGGCAGGUAAAAGCAUGCUAGUUUUUUAAAAUUUUUCUAUUUACAAGAUUCAAUGUAAGGCAUGUACAGCUGUCCAAAUUAGGAGAAAGUGUCAUGUUCUAAAAUCAGUAAACACUACUUUUACAUGUAAAGGACAAGAAAAGAUAAGAAUGUACAAUUUUGAAAGAAAUUGAAUCAUUGGAAAUGUAAAGUUGUUAAAUGUUGAAUAUUACAAUGUUGGAAAAAAGUCAAAUUCCAAAAUGAUUUAAAUAUUCAAAUAACCUACCAAUAUUAAAUGUUUAGAAUGUUAAAAAAACUUGAAAAUGUUGCAUAAACUUAAAAAAAAAAUGACAAUAUUGAAUAUUAAAAAUGUGAAGUUUUGAAAAUUUAAAGUGUAAAAUGUUAAUACGUAAAAUGUUUUAAUGUGAAAAUGUUGGAUAAAUGUUAAAUAAAGUUACAAAGUAAAAUGUUUAAUUGUUGAAAUUUGAAAUGUAAAAUUUUAGAAUGUUAAAAUUUUAAAUGCUGAAUUGUAGACUGUUAGGUGUUAUAAAUGUAACCGUAAAGUGUGAAAAUGUUGAAAAAUGAUGAGAUAAAAAAUAAAUGUUUAAAUGUUAAAUUUUAAAUGUUGAAAUGGCCAUGUCAAAUGUGAAAAUGUUGGAAAAAUGUUACAUUAUGUUACAAGGUAAAAUGUUUAAUUGUUGAAAUUUGAAAUGUCAAAUUUUAGAAUGUUAAAAUAUUAAAUGCUGAACUGUAGAAUGUUAAGUGUUAUAAAUGUGACCGUAAAAUGUGAAAAUUUGUAAAUUUUCAAAUAAUGAGAUUAAAAUUUAAGUUUUUUUUUUUUUACUAAAAUUUUAAAUGUAUAAAUGUUAAAACUAAAAUGUUGAAAUGUUCAUGUCAAAAUGAAAAAAUAAAAAUUGUUAAAUAUUAUGAUUAUUGUUAAAUGGAUAGAAAUUAACAAAACAAAACAAAAAAAAAAAAAGCACAGGCCUGGAUAGCCCAAUUUCUGUACCAGAUGUGUGAGCAGGAGCAUUUUUCCCUUUAAAGUGUCAGUUUUGCAUUAUAAGGAUUAUUGUUAGCUUGAGUGACAGGUGAGUAUAUUAUAACAGUUAAUCUGGGGGCUAAAGGCCUACCUCUGCCCAGCUUGACCAAACGUGAAGUUGGGUUGGCGUUUGGAGUGACCCAUUCCCUGAUUGGUGCAUCGUUGACUGAAAUGUUCUGGACUCCUGUUUAAUAUUAGUAAUGGAGGUGAAACUCCAUAUCCUGGCUCGGCCCUCUUACCCUCUGCUGUGAUCAUGACCUUUAGAUACUGACCAAAGGGAUCAGGAACCAGCAGCUAAAAUGAGCUUCAUUCCCAGGGUGACCAUUAAGUACAGGGUAAGGAACUUAGAUGAAACUCAUUUACAUUGAAAUGACUCCAGUGUGUCCAGCUGGGAGUACACCCCGAGGCGGACCAAGAGCAAGGCUGAAGGGGAAAUAAAUCCCGCUUGGCUUCGGAUCACCUUGGGACCCUCGGGGAGGAGCUCAAGGAAAUGACACCCAGGCUAUUCUCCUUGGAUGGAUUCAUAAACCUCCGUUUUACAGACUCCGCUACCAAAACUUGGUCCGAUAAUGUUCCUGAAAAACCCGUUUUUUCCCUUUUAAGAGCUGCUGAUCAGACACUGUGUUCUCAAAUCAUGCAAAACACAUCUGGGGGCCUUUUUUCCCCCUGUGGUUCGAGCCGAAGAAAAACAACUCUAGGUACAAUCAAACCCUUGAGUACCCCUUUAGUCUGAUGCACCUCAUUCUUUAGGAGUCUUUAGUUCCUGGCCAUUACCUAUAACAUCCCGGCUUCAAGACAUUCGCUACACUGUGUGGCGCCAUUAGGGAGGAAAAGUUCUCCAAGGGCUGAAACCUCUCAUGGAUUUUCUCGGCGUCAUGUCCUAUGACCGGGCAUCUUGUCAGCUGAGCCUAAUCUGACAGGAUGCUAAUAGAUUGUCUAAUUAACAUAAUGUCCGACCAUUAGCAGUGGUUAACCUUUGACUCAUCGCACUGACAGGGAUAAUAGGAGUGGCGGCGAGAAGCCAUGGAUGCUAAUGCUCUGUGAACUCAUGUUAUUUACAAAUUAUUUCCACACUUCACACGGUCUGGGCGCCGAGAUUGAAGCAGUCGUGUCGUCAGACUUUUGGGGUGUAUUGUAUUGUUGGUAUCCAUGUCAUUUCAUCCAAUAAUACAGUUCUUAAGCUGUGCUAUCAGCUCGGGCCGCCUUAGAUGGCAGGAGCACAGAGCGGUCAAGCAGUCGUCAUUUCACCUCGCUGAACUUCUGCCGCCGUUUCACCCUCAGCGCUGAACCAAAUCCGACCACUUUCCACAGCCUUGAACACCACUUCCCUCCUCUUUGCAUGGACUCACACACAAACAUAUGCGCUGCGCCCUAGCCGCUGAUCCGUCAUGAUGUCUCCUUCCACCUCAUUUCCUCAGACCCCCGCUUCUUUCUAAUUGAGGCGGCGGCGAAUACAAUUAUGGUGAGAAUCAUCCCGCACUGAUGUGAGGACGGAUUAACCGGAUUAAGACGAUAAUCUGUUGACCCUCCGGCCCCGGCGCAGUAUGAGGCUGGGAAGGCAAUUUGAAGCAGAGAAGAAGAAGAGAUAGAGGGGGGGCUUUAAUGAGCGAACUGACGAAAGGCUCUGACCACUCUGAGGCUGGCCUGGCGUGCUGCCGAGGGAUUACUUUCUGCAAGAGUCCCCCCCCCCCAUAAUCUCACCUAACCCCUCACAUCCGCCCCACUGCCCACUGACUCGCUCCUCGUUAGAGAUGUUCAGGAACAGCCGCACGUCUCUGCUAAUAAAGGUUACAGCGUCACACAAAGAGCAGGAUUAAAGCUCAUGAUACCAGUGAAAAUGAAAGGUCUUUUAUAUUACACAAGUUUUCAACAGAUAAAGGUCCAGCAGAGGGUUUUGUUUGGGCUUUUCCUGCUUCCUGGAAAUCCACCUGCUGAUCUGAUUCUGAAAGAACAUUUCACAAUUAACCAAAAAAAAAAAAGGAAAAUUCACUUGGUUCUGCCGCUCCUACAGUGGAGGAUUGAGGGCACUAUAGGGAUAAAAUAUUUACAAAAAUAGAGUUUCAGAAGUACAAUAAAAACCAACAAAAAAAAGAUUCGAGAAAUAAAAGCAAAAAAGUUCUGAAUUUGCAAGAUUAAAGUCAUGUUAAAAAAGGAUUGAAGUCAUAAAUUGACAACAAUGCAGUAAAAAAAUUACCAUAUAAUUUUUUAUUGAAUUAUUUAUAUGAUUAAUAAGGUUAUAAUCAAUAAGUAAAAAAGAGUAGUGACAAAUGAAUAAAAUAAAAAACAAUUCAAAAAUGUGUAAGAUUUAUCUUAUGAUUAAAACAAUAAAAUAAUAAAAUAAGUAAUAUAAAUAAAAUUGGAGAGAUAAAAAUAAAUUUGAAAAAUAAAAUAGAUUUAAAAAAUUAGUAUUCAAAUAAUCAAUUAUAAAAAUAAAGCUAUUUGACACUAAAGAGAUUAAAAAAUAUAAAAUUAUAGUACAAUAAAUGAAUAAUGCUAAAUAAAUAAAAUAUGCAAUAAAAUGUAAAAUAUCAAGGGUGAAGUUAUAAAAUAACACGAUUAGAAAUGUGAAUGUAAGAGUACAGAUGUAAAACAUUUAAAGAGAAAGUUGUGAGUAAUUCACAUGAUAAUCAUUAAAUUGCUGGAGCAAAGCCGUACAUUGACAAGAUGUGAGUUAGACAAUAUAAAGAAUAAAACUUCAAAUUUGCCAGAAUGAUCCAAAGAGGUAACAAAUGCCUUUAUAUCACAUUUUGUUGUGAAAGAGUCACUUAAUGGGUUUAAAAACAAACUGUUUAUAGUUUUAAUUUACACUGUACUGACUGAAUACCUGUUUAAAGUUAGAUGAAUUACCUCACAUUAGGUGUAUAAGCUGCUCGAUCACAGCAGUUUUUACCUCUGUAAACACAGACAUGUGUUGGUUUACUGCAUGAGUAUAGAGGUUACAGCAGAUAAAUGACAAAGAGAUGCGUUUUAUCCUUUAUGUUUAAACAUUUUAUCACUGAAUAGAGAAUUUAGAGUCCUUAUUACAGCGUUAAAAGACAAAAUGAUGCCAUAAACCGUGUAAACAAAGGGGCUUUACUGCUCCUGUGUGACUGAGGAGCUGUGACCGUGUGUAAAAGUUACUUAUGAGGGCAGUUAGGAGAAAGUUGGCAGCGUCCAGUUGACAGUACAUCAAGUUUUUGCACAGAGUACACUCCAGCAGGGCGCUUUGUCCUUAUGGGAUUUUCUUAGCGUAAACCAUGAUGAGAGACUCCUCUUGAGUUCCUUUGUAAUAGUUAAAAUCAUUAGACAGUGAGUGGGAUUAUCUCCUCUCUUUUUGCAUGUAUCAAAUUUAUUCCUCCACGUGACCUGUCAGGUAUGUCUCCGCAGGAAAGCCUUUUAAUCCCACGGCUGUGAUAUAGUUGUUGAUCUGCAGCACUCUGGAUCAAUGGACUGAGAUUAAAAAUGAUGUUAAUGGAGGUUUGAUGGGUUUAAGUGAUGCUUUUGACGCAGGCUGCAAAUCAUCUUCACUUUUCGGAGGAAUGAAAGGCAGGAAUGAAAAGCUUUCUGUCUGAAUAAGACUUUCAUCCUUUGACAUCUGUCUUGUACUUUUUCGAUGAAUAGCAAGUGCUUAAAGUCCUUGCCUGACAAAAUUAAUAACACACGUACGCAUCGGCUGUUCUGUUGAAUGAUGACUCCUCAUUUCAUCAGUAUUCUCCGCUAUUUUGAGAGACAACAUUUCUGUAAUUGCAUCGCCUUGUUUGAUUAGACAUAAACACGGGGUUACACCUGGAACGCGACUGAAAAGAUUGUCCACUCUGAUGCCUGACAAGCUUAUUCACUUUUAUAUAACCUUCAGAUUCCCCCCCAAAAAUGUGCUCUAAAAUAAACACCAGACAGUUACAGGGCCACAUAGAUGCCACAAUAACUCUUGAGUAGCAUUCCUGACCAGUUUAAUUAAAUACAUGUCUGGCUUUCAAAACCAUUGCUUCAAUCCUCUUUUAGAUGAGCACAAAAAGUACCAAUAACAAGCCUUAUUUUUAGUUAACAUUAAAAAUGAAGUUUCAAAGGACUUUAAAAGAGCCCUUGACAAUGUCCCAGGGUACUGAAGGUUGUAAGAAAUGAGAAAAAUAUUAAUUGAUUUGUGCGGAGUUUCAUCUUGAAAGUGAAUCACUAUAAUAAAAGGUCUUUUGUGUCUGUAAAAAAGUAGUAAACAAUGACCAGCCUUCAUGAAAUAAAGUAAUAAAUUCCUUAUGUAUAACCACUCUUGUGGGAAAAAAAUAAAUUAAUGUGGAAUGAAGUUAAAACGAUGAAAGUAAAAGUUUUUGAUUUUGAGAUUAUAAUCAAUAUUAUGGGAAAAAUUAGAAAGAUGGUGGUCAUUCUGGAACCAAAAAGUCUAAUUCCUAGGAUGAAAAGUUAAAAUCACAAGACAGUAAAUUCUUACUGUGAAAUGUAGAGAGAAAAAUGUUAUAAAAUGCUGCUAUUUUUAGAUUUUGAAAGUUCUAAGGAAAUAGCCAUGACCCUGAAGUCAUGGACUCAGAAUUACUUUCAAAAGCCAAUGGCAAGAAACCAAUUGUUGCUGCACACAAAAAUACAGCUCAAAGCUGUACUACUCAAACAGCAGACCACAAAAAAAAAAAAAACAGUAUGAAAAAAUUCAGCAGAGAUACAGCAGAGAUAUAGUUGCAAAAACUUUUUUCAAGUGGUGGGCACAGCGUCCAAGAUUUCCAAAAAACUAUCAAAGUUAUGACAUCCUUUUUGGAGAUCUAGGAUGUAGUGUUAAUCACUAUAAAGAGGGACACUGUGUGCAGGAUUUCCAGAAUUAAUGUGAAAUCUGUUACAUUCAUUUUGGAAAUCUUGGACACUGUGCCCACCAUUCUAAAGAAGGGGACAUGGUAUCCAAGAUGUCCAAAAAAAUGAAUUCGACAUUGUUGUUGGAAAUCUCAGAUACUGUAUCCACCAAUCUAAAGAGAGAUGCAGAGUCCGAGGUUUAAAAAAAAAAAAAAGAAAAAAAGGUCUAAUUUAUGGCACUCUUUUUGGAAAUCUUGGACACUGUGCCCACCACUCUAAAGAAGGGGACAUGGUAUCCAAGAUGUCCAAAAAAAAAAAGGUCAUGAAUUUGACAUUUCCAGAAACAAUGUGAAAUCUAUGACAUUCAUUUUGGAAAUCUUGGACACUGUCCCCACUACUUUAAAGAAGAGGACAGGGUAUCCAAGAUUUCCAAAAAAACUCCAUUUGAUGUUGUCGUUGGAAUUCUCAGAUUCUCAGAUACUGUAUCCACCAAGCUAAAGAGUGAUGCAGUGUCCAAGAUUUCCCCAAAAAAGGUCUAAUUUAUGGCACUCUUUUUGGGAAUCUUGGACAUUGUGCCCACAACUCUGAAGAAGGGGACACAGUAUCCAAGACUUCCCAAAAAAUCAUGAAUUUGACAUUGUUGUUGGAAAUCUUGGAUACUUUAUACGCCACUCUAAAGAGAGAUAGAGUGUCCAAGAUUUCCAAAAGAAUAUUGAACCUCUGAAUUUCCUUUAUGGAAUCUUGGAUGCUGUGUUCACUACUCUAAAAAAAGGGGGACAGUGUCCAAGACUUCCAAAGAAAUCACCAAAUUAAUGGCUUUUUUUUUUUUUUUUUUUAAUCUUGGAUGCUGGGUCUAACACUCUUAACGGACACAGAGUUAAAUUUCUGAAUUUCCUUUUGGGAAUCUUGGAUGCUUUGUCCAUCACUCCAAAGAGGGAGGUAGCAUAUGGGCUUGCUUUCACAGUUUAAAAGCCAGCAAUUAGGAUAGUAUUGGGAUACAUCAGUGGCAUAGCAAGAGUAGUGUACACAUUACGACCUUGUGUAAAACAGCAAGACAAGACCAAACCACAUUCUGCAUAUAUGUUUCUAUAGUCAAAGAGUCCAGGUGUUAAACUGACCUGCCGGCUGUCCUAGUUUUUGUCACCUAUUUAAACAUUAUUUUUCAUUAUGAUGCAAUAAAAUCCAACAAAGGAGACCCCGAACUGUGAAGCAGCUUAUCGGGGAAUAAUAGGACAGUAUUUCACUUUCAGAACUCAAAUCUGGUCUCCCUGGUUCCCAAAUGUUUACAGACUGUUGUUAAAAGAAGAGGUGAUGCAACGCAGUGGUAAACAUGUCCCUGUCCCAACUGUUUUGCAACAUGAUGCUGGCAUCGGCUUUAAAAAUGAGUGUAUAUCUGUCAUAAACAAUAAUAUUUUUUAUGACACAUUAUUACGCAGGGAAGGAGGGCGAAAUCCUGCAAGUGUCUGGAGUAAAAGCCUAAAAUUAACUGACAAGAAAGAGUAUAUCCACUGGGAAUGUGUCUGCACACUGCCUCAAAAAGAGUUUCCAGUUGUACAAUAGUUCUUUUGAGUAUAACAUGAUUAUAAAGAAGACUGUUUCAACAGAAAAUCACAGAGCACUUUGCUUCAAACAAAUUUGCAGUAGUCGCAUAGCAAGACGGAAAGCCACCGCCAGCACUUCCCACAAGCAUCUGUUUGUAGCAGACAGUCCAAACACAAUUAGCCAAGGGAUUUGUAAUAGAUUUAUGUGAACAGAGGACCGCCGGGGAUAGAAACGUAGUGGGAACCAAGUCGACUCCAAGAUAUCAGCAGGCGCUCUUCAGAUUUGUUGUUUGGCCCAGCAGAAAGAUACAGCAGGUGUGACCGUGCGUUUCCCAGAGACAGGAAGACAAUGUGUUUGCUGUCUGUGAUUUUUAUUGCCGAGGGGUUCACUGAUUCCUCUAUCUGCCGUCCUUAUUGUGUGCUGAGUCAGGCUGCCGUCCUGGGGUUUUUCAAUCACAGACGCUUGUCUCACUACGCUGAAGAUAGCACUGAGUCACGCUGAUGUUUUCCACAGCAGCACUAAAUAUGAGCCAAUAAAGCAGACGGGCCCUUUAGGCAUCAGCCCACCCAAGUAGUUAAGACAACAUUGCUUCUUUUCUUCUUGUAUCUCUUCCAGAAACAUUAAAAAAGUUAAUUCCAAGCAAAAGAUGACAGUAAGCAUUAGCAUGAUGCUAAUUGCUAAGUGCGCUAAGUGUUUAUUUUCCAUGAUUAUUUGAUGGGCUCUGAUUUGUUCACGGUUUGCAGUCUUGAUCUCCUGAGAUCACAUCAGAUCAGCUUUCAUGUUUAUUUGAUGCAGGCGUCUUGUUUGCCAGCUGCCGUGAACCUACCCUGACUUUUCACCCAUAAUGUUUCUGUGUGGGCGUAUGAAAAAUGCAAUUGCCAUGUCAGGUUUUAUGUUUAUUUUUCUUCAUUGUUUCUCUAUAGUUGUUAUUCUCUACUAAGAUAUGUAUGAAUCCUAACAUAGCUCAACUGUGUUUGACCCAUAGACUGUAUAUACGAUGGAGAACUUGGUUCCGCCUUCCGCCAGUAUACGGAUUUGAAGCCGAAAAGCUCUUGGCAAUUCUGCGUUUUUUGUCCACUUCCUGAAACCAACAUUGCGCAGUAGAGUCGAGGUGAUGACCCCUGGCUCAAACAGCGUAUCCCCCCGGGUGAGCAACGUUCGUACACCCAUAGGCUUUACCAGGUGUCGAUCAUAGAAAACAUGAAUCCCCUAAUAACUUUUAAAAAUGGAGCUUCACAGAAAAAAGAGGACUUGAGCACAAACCAGUCUUACAAUAACCGCAUGUCAACAUCCCAACCAGGGGGGAGAAAAAUGUAUAUUCUAUGUAAUACAUUUCUAAAGUUUGUCCACAGCGCCAUAGGGAUUGCUGGAGGAGGCGGGAUUUAUGACCUAUACUGCAGCCCGCCACCAGAGGUUGCUGUUCUGACCAAAUAGUAGAGUUAUCUUGCGUCAAUAUUUACUGUAUAUAACUGUUGUGCAGCUUUAUGCUGAUGGUUUUGUUUGCUUUCGUAGGUCAUAAGGAGGCAUCAGCAUUAAUUUUAGUUCUUUUCAUAAUAAGCAAAAGAAAAUUCUCAAAGGAGCUUUAAGUUUUUGUCGUUUUUGUCUCGGCCUCCAUGGAUCUGCAUUAAAUAGUUUAUGGAUGACACUGGAGUGUUUUCUGGGUGUCAGUCCAUUAUGUGGCGCACCAGAAAAGAUCGUGUCAGCAGCAGAAUAUUUAAUGUCGAACCCCUGUGGAUUUUCAGAUCCUGCCUGUGGCUUGUUAAUGUCUCAGUUCGGGCUUCAUAAAGCGUCUCGCUGAGGUUGACAGUCUGACAGAGACGACCAUCUGGAAGUCCUCUCGACGCUGACGUGCAUUCAAUUUAUCUCCGUCUGCAUCACUUUGGACCAUUUACUGUAAACACAUAAUGUAAUUUUUCUGAAUCAACAGCGUUCCAGUGGUUCUGCUCUCUGUCAUCUGCUUCGACACAUUCACGCUCCACAUUAAUCAUAAUAAUCCUGCGUUUCUUUGUGGAAUAUAAAACGCCUUGUUGUCCAAGAAGCUGCUGAGAAAGGCGGAUUUAUUUGUUUUUCAACGCCCUCAAUUUCACCUAGUUUGGUCUUCUUUGCACCUGAAAGGAAAAUACUUAAACCUGAACAUUUUUGACGUUAUGGAAGUGCGUAGCUUACUGUGGUGCAAGGUUAAAGUGCAGUGUGUGACGUUUUAUCAAGGGAGCAGAUGAUUUGACAUGCAACCGCUUGCUCCUCACUUUGAGGGGGAAGAUAUGAAAACGUGCCAUUUCCUUUGGGGAGACGAGAGGAGAUGAGAGGAAACGUUAAUAUAUUUUGAAAGACAGAAACAAAGCAUGAUGGGAGCUUGCUAUAUCACAGGCCAGUAUACUCUACAUUUGAGUCAGAUCCCACAGGGAGUCGCAUGUAUGAGAUUUUCCUUUGAUAGCUUCUCCUGAAGUAGUAAAGUCACGUUAGAGGAGAGAAACUGUCACAUUUUCUUUGAGGAGAUUUCUAAUAAGUCUCCUUAAGGGAUAGUUUCAGUGUUUCGCAGUGAGGUUUAUGUGUUAGCCAAUAAAAAGUGUAGUACUCAAAGGAAAUGGAGCAGAUAACCCGCUCCAUUUGUGCAUCACAUCAGGCCUGUUUUCAUCAAACAUGGUUGAGAUUGACGACAUUCUGAGGAUUUGUUGUAUCUCUUUUGUAACUUUAUUUUUGUACCAGGCUGCAAAUAUAUUGCUGUAAAAAUGAACACACUGACAUGGGUCUCAAUGGGGUUUUUUGGCUUUUGGAGCCAGCCUCAAGUGGACAGUAGAGGAACUGCAGUUUUCAACAACUACACAUUGGCUUCCUCUUUAAAACCCACUUUAAUACAAAUCAAAACUGAAAAUUUAUGACUGACAAUUGAUGUUUAACUGACUUAAGAGAAGUACAAAAAUGUAGAAGUACCCAACAGAGUCACGGCUCACAAUCUGUUUCUUGUAAAUGUCACAAAUAGCACCCUGAAAAUGCACAGAUUGUGGUUAAAACACGUUAAUCUUGCAUGUGACAUCCUUCCAUGACCGCUAAUCAACCAUUUAAGCUUCAUACUGGCGUACGUCCAUCCUAACACAUUGAUAACACAGCAUGUAAAUGCAUUGACACACAAGGAUUGCUGCUCUUAAUAAGAGAUGUAUUUACAAUUCAGACAGGGGAAACAGAAACCUUUGUCUUAGAAAUGCGAUAUCCUCAACUUUCCAGCAUAUUCAACCAGCGUUUGUUCUUGUAGACAGUGUCCGUGACCUUUACAGUAUAGUUUGAGUAGUGGUAUUUACUCAAAUCAUCAUAUGCAAUGAUAAGAAGAUAUCUGAGUUACCUGAGCAAUGCAUAUAAGAUCCUUUGUGGUAUAAGCUGCCUGUGUAUUAAGCAUUAAAAGAUGACUAUAGACCACACAGUGUUGACAUUAAACAUUACAUUUUCUGUUUUCACAUUCUGCAAAGUGCCAGCCUCAGUCCUGGUGUGGGCGUUAUUUAAUUGGAGGUCAAACUUAAAGGCUGUAAAAUGUCAUUGCCACACUUGUACAGCGUUGUUGAGCCCUCUCACAGUAAUAAUAACCCGUAUUGUCACUCAUGGGUGAUGACUUAUUUCAGCUCCACAAAGACCACUACAGUGACUUAUCUAUGCAUAUGACUCCAGUGCCUCUCCUGCUCUUCAAGACAGCCAUUUAACUUGGUUGCUAAGGCAACAGACCGGCCCGGGUGACAGCGGUGAUGACAGAGCAAUCGCUGACAGACUAACUUCAAGACAGGCCACAAGUUCUUCCACUGCCGCUAAACGCUUAGUCUCUUUUUUCGCAGAGUACAAAGGGAGCGGGAUUAUGCAACACUUUGCAACAGUGAAGUGGCGUCCAUCCGAGUGACAUGUCGGCUGGGAAAUGGACGGUGCUUUUUAGAUACCAUCAGACACACACUGACAGCAGUUAUUAUGUUAUUGCUUAUUAAGAGUAAGUGGAAAAUGAGUCUUUAAAAGCAAAGUAAUGAUGCAAAUUAUAGUUUUAUGCCGGCACAUGUGCAUUUACGACUCUAAAAACAUGACAAGGGGACACACUGAGUAAUUAAACUGUCAAUUUAAACAUCACCGUCUUGACAUUAAUGUUAUAUAGAAGCAGCCGGUAUAUGCAACAUGUGACAUGAAAACCUCUGAAAGCAACUUUUCUGUUGAUUCUAGUCCCCUUGUGGACAAACUGGGACAUUGUGAAGUGGUUUUAAAUAGUCGAUCACAGCAUGAAAAUGUUGACAAAGACUGUUUUGGUCAUAUUUAGUUUAUCAAAACAUCAUACAAACCAAAAUGAUCCAAUCCAAUCCAAUCCGCUUUGUUUAUAUAGCACAUUUACAAAAACAUUCAAGUCUACCAAAGUGCUAAAAGAAUAGACAAUGCUGAAAACAUCAAGAUGAAAUAAAUAAAUAAAAGCAGGUAAAAAACAUUUAAAAUGAAAUAAAAUAAAGGAAAUAAUACACAAAAGCAUUAAAGAAAGAAAAUUGAUAAAAGGACAGUAAAAGACAUUAAAGGAUGGAGAUCACACAACUGUCAUGCUGAGCUAAAAGCCAAGGAAUAAAAAUGAGUUUUAAGACGUGAUUUAAAAGUAAAAAUGUUUUAAUCUCGAGUGGCAAUUUGUUCCAUAAUUUGGGAGCCACAGCGUUGAAAACUCGGUCGCAACGGGUUUUUAAAAUGAAUUCUUUAAUGGACGGGAAGCCAAUGGAGGGACGCAAAAUUAGUUCCACAAGGAGGAACAAAAUGGUCUCUAAGUUAAACUGAAUUCAGCUGGAUCUAAACCCCCCCUUGACUUCACAGCACAUGGUUUGCUCCAGGCUUCAAGAGGUUUGUCCACCCUUGACCACACCCUCUGCUAGACCAGGAAGUGCCACAGCCAGGUAACUCAAAGACAAAGACAUGAAGAUUAAUGUCACUGAAGUGUGUGUCUGAUCUUACAUGUUAGCACUGAAUUUAACCAGAUAAAGAUCAUAAACUCAAAAUAAGCUAAAACUAAACAUCACACCUCAGACACUUGAGUCUUACUUAACUCCACACCUAACUGUACACUUCAUGUCCCGGUGUUUCACACAGCAGCUGGGUUGUUCUAAACUACAAGGUUUUCUUACACUUUAUACCCGAGUGCUAAAGGGCAGGUAGACUGUGAACAUAUCAAGGCAGACAGAAAAGGAAAGAAAACAUGAUCUUUGUUAUCCUGACGAGUAAAUGAGCAGCGCUGUUGGAUCUCUUUAAGGCAUAAAUUGGCCUUCAUGCCACCUGGGAGCCAACUGACACCUAAGAAACAGAGAAUUCACACGUGUAUUUGUAUAUGAUCACACCAUCCAGAACAGGUGAAAGAAAAUAGAUGAAGUGACACAUCUGCUUUGGAAAAUAUCAUACUUUAUAUUUAAAAGUGACAGUUUAGGCUGUGUAAUUCAAUCAGAGGGAAAAUAAUCCACCUGUAUUCAUCUCGUUUAAUCCAAUCUUCUACUGUGGUGGUGCUAGGCAGACAAUAACAGGAUACAUUUUCCAGACCUGGCCUCAUUGGGAAACAUAGCUGCACUCCAUUUGCACCAAUCACAGUUUUCUAUGAGACAGUUUGACACAAAUUGCACAAAUCUGCUGCUCACUUCUUGGUGGCUGUUAUGCAGGUUGUGACUUCUCCUUAUCUGGCCCUUGUUACCUACAUUGCACCAGCCUGCAAGGUGGCCAGAGGGAAGUACAGGCCUCCUGAUAUGAGUCCGUGGUGUGCUCAGAUUAUGGGUCAAGUUAUGAGCUGGAAAACAAGUUAUUGUUGUGUGAAAAUCAAACCCAGAGAAGGGCCUUAAAGAUUAGUCGAUUUUUUUCCUCUGAGUUUUCGUCAUCAAAGUUGUGACUCCAUCGACGUCGAUAUCCACUGUCGUUUCCUCGGAUAAAUGCGUCCGUGUUCAAAUUAAGCACUUCACUGUAACACUAACACAAUGUAUUGAAAUGAAAGGUUUUGUCGAAUUAAAAAAUGACAUCUGUGGCACAAAUGUUCAAAUUCGACAAAAUUUACUGUCAAAGGACGUAAGAGUGCUGUGAAGACUGUUGCUUCUAAAAAAAGGAACCGAUACACCAUGAUAUGUUGGCAUAUUUGUUUGCAUAAAGAGCUUUAUUUUCCCUCAGAAAGAAAGAUUGAUACUCGCCUAGAACUAUAUCAACGCCUGAGUCACUAUCUAUUGAAGAUCUCUCGCUGUUAUGUUAAGUUGAAGGACAGUAACUAUGGCGAACCAUUAGAGUAAAGAGAAACGAGUAUGAGCAAUUAAACUUCAAAAACACUGCUCUGGUCGCGCUUAUUUGUGUGACUUUUCACUGAUAUAGUGAUUGGUUGCUAAGUAGCUGGCUAACUUGCUUGUGAGGACUGGGUGGUACCUGACAAAAUUUGUUGUCAUGACACAAGUCCUCAAGAGUGUGUCUUUUUUUAUGCAAAUCUUGCUUUAAGAAAGCGCCAUGUUUAGUUAGUGUCGACACUGUAAAGAUGUGUUGUGAAUAAUAACCGACUGAUAUCAACGUCUGAGCAGAUCUGUUGAUGUUUGAUAUAUAAUGGUUAUUGUUGGUGUUUGCAUUUGACAAAAUACAACAACUUAUUAAAACUAAAAAAAAUAAAAAAUAAAAAAGCUGAACUUGAGUGAAAUCCUUCUCUGGUGAUAUCUAUCGGCUGUGGUCUGAUGCUGACAUGAGGCUGAUUAUGUCAAAAUACUGUCUUCUAACCUUCCUCCUGUGUUAGCUUUUACUACACACCCACUAUAUUAAUGGGUCGGUUUUGACCCGUGUCUUAAAUCAGCUGUUAAUUACACUAAAAACAAUUCUCUACCAUCCAAUUUGGUUCUUAUCUCUAGGUUACCUUGUUCGGCUUCAUUAUCCAUGAAAAUAUUGCUGAUAAUAUUUUUUGUUGUGGGCCUCUGGGUCUUUCUUUGUCAGUAUACCUCCUCACACAGACAUCUAUACUUAGAUGAUCUCACAUGUCUAGACAUGCCCGAUGUUGUUUGUUGUGCAGGGAAAAACAGCAAAAUGAGAAUCCCCUAAAUCUCACAUGAUUGGAAGAGGAUCUGACUGUCCGUGUGGCGCCUGUCAGUGCACUUAUGAUUUCAGUUUUAGCUCUAAUCAUUAGACAUUGAUCUAACCGGUUUAACAGCGACCCUAACACAACAAGUGCCAUAAUUUUAAUAAGAGCAUUUUAUAAUUUAGUCAGUUUCAUUUUUUUAUUUUCAUUUUGUUGAAAUAGAGGUUCCUGACAAAGUCAAAAAGUCAGGAGGAGGAGGAGGGUUAAACAGCCAACGAAUAAAUCAGUCUCUCUAGUUGUGAAGCUCAAAAAUAGUGAUCACUAUAUUUUUCAUCAGGCCAAUAAUGGGUUUGAUAUUAGUGUAAAUAUUGGUGUUUUAAUAUGGCGUCUAAUAAGGUUAACUUUGGUUUUGGAGCCGGCCCCUCGUGGACUUCUGUAUUGGCUUUAUCUACUUCGUAUUUGUCAACUGAGGAAAUGUUAAACUGAAUAUUAUUAAUAUUCGGAGGUGAAUUUUGACGUGCCUGACUAUACACAUCAAGCCGGAUGCGACUUUUCAGGGGGAAAAAAGACGCGUCCUGUGGGUGGAAGCGAGAAGACUGACACAACAGCAGACUGAGUGUUUUUCAGUUCUGUUCAGACCCUAGUGUUGAGAUGUCUGUCUGUCAUGAUAGCAUGUACUGAGUCGGGGUCAGUACCAGAUAAGCACAUUAAACUAUAAUCCAUAAACGUAAGGUAACAACAGAGACCUAAUGGUGCUGUGACAGCAACACUGUGAUUGAGUUUGAGACAGUGAAAAUACAUAUGGUAUGUUGUAUCUGAACAGGUUAGCUUACGAGCUAAAGUUACUUAGCACAGAUGAAAGUUAAAACAAAGACGUUUAUCAAACUGUUAAAGCUCACAAACCAUCGUCAGAUGAGAAAUCCGACGCUAUGACUCUCCACAAGUCGUCCUUCAGGUCGUUAUCUUUGUAAUAUUUGUGUUUUUUAUCAAAAAUCACUCUGUUCUCCGACAUGUAAACAAUCAGCCGGUCGGCCAUGUUGGAUAUACCGGUGAAUCUGAUGUCACAACCACACGAAAUCUGAUUGGUCAGAAGUGGACACACAGUAUGUGAAACUUUGGCAAA